CCUCUUCAAUCCUGGGCUUGCCAUGGAAAACUCAGUAUUUGAUUUUGAAGAUUCAAGGGAAGAAGGUGGCCUUUCAAGCAAUGGAGAUGGGGUUUCUUCUGCACAAAAACCACCUGAGGAUGAUAUUGCUAGUGAAAAAAGGGUUUUUUCCGUGAGACUAGGCAAAUUUAGAGGCUUAAAUGGUGGUGGUGGUGGUGGAGGAGGAGGAGGAGGAGGAGGAGGAGGAGGAGAAGGAGAAGGAGAAGGAGAGAGAGGAGGGGGUGAGACAAGCUGUAGUAAUUUGGAUGCAAGGAGAUGUUUCUCGAUGGGUUCGUUCCAAUAUGUGGUUGCUAAUUCGGACCUGCAGGUGGCCUUGUGCCCCAACAGAGCCGAUGCUGGCAGUGAUGCAGUUGUGAAGCUGAUGAAAGGGAGAGGUGGGCACACUGGGAAUUCCUCAACUGAUGGCGAUGUUGAAGGGAAGAAGAUUAGCAUUGGAAGCAAAGACGAAAGUUUUUCUGUUUCCAAAAUCUGGCUCUGGCCUAAGAAGGGUAAAUUUCCAAGUUCAUCAGAUACCCAUAUUGGUCCUUCUGUUAAUGUUGGGUUCCCAUGGACUGAGAGAACUCAGGCUUCAUGAAGGUAGUUAUGUUGCCUUGUACUUUCUUCAUCGAUUACUUAAUCCAUUCAUUAAAAAGCUCCCUCUCAGCUUUUACUUUUCUCUUUGCUUUAAAUUUCUUUGGUGCCAAGCUCUGUGAUUAUGAUUCUUUCGUAUUAAACUUUAUGGCAAAUGGGUGCAAUGUACUUCUAUCUUUUCAGUUAUUUUCUACACACUUGUAACUUUGAGAAAUGCCUUUUUGUUUGCUAACCUUUAGACUUGUUUAACAUUUUUGUAGUAGUCUUCAUCAAUGUUUUAAAAACCGGACCGGACCGGCCGGUCCAACCGGUUCAACCGUCGACCGGUCACAUUUCCGGUCCGGUCCAUUCUAUUAAACCGUUUAACUAUUGGACCGGUUACGAACCGCCUGAACCAGCGGUCGAACCGGUGAACCGGAAGAACCGGACGGUUCUAAACGAACCGAACAGUCCAUAUGGGCCCAUUAUUUUGCAAGCCCAUUGUAUAAAAUAUUAGAAGCUGUAGGCUAAAAACCAUACUGGGCCAAGUCUUUACAUGACAAAGCCCACACCCUUAGCAUUUAAGUAGGCUCAGUCUUGAGCCCACAAGGUGGACAUGCUGUAGCUUUCAACAAGGAUGCCUUUUAUAGGCCUCCUUUGCACCCUUAUUUCUCUCACAAACCGAUGUGGGAUUGCAAACUAAUAUGAUAAUGAAAAAAACUUAACAAAUAUGCAACAUGAGGAUUUGAAGCUGGGACCUCAGGUUUAGUAAGUGAAUUAGGAUACCACUCGGCUACACGUGAUUUGUUAUUUGAUUUGCCCAACAAAACGAUAUAUAUUGGAUUUUAAUUUUUAUAAUAUUAAAUAAAAAUAAUAUAAUAUUUUUAAAAAUUAUAAAUUAGUUAAAAUUUUCAUUUUUAAUAUAUUCACAUUUAAAUAUUGUAUACAUUUCAUUUAAUAUGAUUUAAUUUGAUAAUAUCAAAUAUAUAAAAUAAUAUUAUUGAUGUUUAAUUUAUUCAUAUAUAUUUUAAAAUUUUUAUAAUUAUUUUUAAUUUUAAUAAAUUAAUAAUAUAUAAAUUAUAUAUUUAUGACGUCACCGGUUCGAUAACGGUUCGAUAGCGGUUCGACCGCCGGUCCGACCAGUGAACCGUGAACCGGUAACUUUUCCGGUUCGAUCACCGGUCCGAUUCUGAAAACAUUGGUCUUCAUGUCUCAGUGCUGUGCAUCCUGUAGAGGGCUAAACAAAAUUGGGUGCUGGAGAAUCAAAAAGGGUUGUAUUGACCUAGAAAUCCCAACACCUGAUAAAUGAGAGCCAAAUUGUUUUUUCUAUUUGGAAUAUGAGUGAUUAGGUAGACCGGAAAGACAUUUGAAAAUGUCAUUUUGAGUGAGAUUUAUUAAAGUGUGGAGUCUAAAAGCAAAAUUUGCUUUUCUGGGUCUAGGCUUCUCUAGAACUUGUCCAGACAAUGCUUAGGAUGAAUCCUUUACAUUUCAAUCUUCUAAUGGGGUACUACUGUCUCUGUCUCUGUCUCUUUUGGGAUUGGAAAAUUGUGGUGGGAUCCGGGAAAAGGCGGUGCGAGGGAGACUCCUAUGGUGAGGAGCCAUGAUUUGAAACUUUGACAUUAGCCACUGGAUUGUGGGGGCGAUGGACCGUUGUCCACCUCUUUGUAAUGCCAUCACACUCACACCACCAAGAUUUCCAUAAAGGACAAUGCUUCCGACACUGCACUCACAUUCUCUACAACCCAACCCAACACAAAGCAAAGGUGUGUCAAAGGCAGUAAGUGAGCAGAUAACCAAGUGAAUUCCCAGAGCUGCUGCACUUAAAAAAUGAAUUUUUUUUUUUUUUAUCUUCCUGGUAUUCCAAAAACAAGAGAGAGUCUUGCCUGCAAGAUCAAAUAGAAGAGCCAACAAUUGGCAGAGAAAACAAUGAUGGACACAUGGUCUGAAGGGGGAGCCACAUGUGAAUCUGAUACGGUAGAUAUGGGGUGAGUACAAAUAGCAGAUGGAGGGGGACAUGAGUGGUUGGUGCAUCACAAUCAUAUAUAUAAUACCAACUCCAUAAGCCAGAGGCUCACAAAAGUCAAACUCAAGCAAAUCAUGCUGUCCUUUCUUCUAUGAUGCAUGCAUGGUUAUGUGUGCACAGAGAGACUAGCGUGAGCUUGAUGGAAGAAUCCAAGGCCUUGCAUGCUUGAUUUCAUUAUUAUAUUAAACUGAAGUACAACUAAGAUGGCCAGCUAUCUUCUCAUACAACUAUACCAAUUCCCAUUUCCAUGCCCUCUUUUCUAAACACAUAUGUCAUUCUGCGCCUCGCCUCUCCGGUUUGUCGUGAAAAAGAAAAAACACCUAAUCUACUUGUUUCUUUUUUACUUUUUAGAUUGAACAAGAGGUAUGAUGCAUGACUUUGACCAACCAUCCUUAUUUAAGAUUAAAUGUUGAGAAUUAUCUUAACCCACUAUUUUAGCCAUAUGCGGAACAUUUUUCUUUUUAUGAAAAAGGGGAAAACAAAAAGAUUUCUAUUGUAAAGUUUAUAUUAUUGUUAUUAUUAUUAUUUGUUUUGCAAUGUUGAUGUCGCAACUCGCAACUUGCAUGUAGGGCACAUAUGGAAUUAUAGGAGAGUGAAGUAUCUGAUGUAACGCUGGAAAUUAUCCAGUCGCUGUUAGGAAACAACACGAGGGAGAAUAUUGGGAAUAUUUGAAAGGCCCCAAUCCAGAACGACCGAGAGGGAUGUAUCCAUGUAAGGUCCAGUUUCAGGAAUUUGUUUUCUGAAUUUUCAAUUUUUGUGUUGGCCUCUGUUUAAAUGACCAGAAUGGCCCCGAGGACCAAGACAACAUCCAGAGAAAGACGCAUAAAUAUACAUACAUACAUACUAAUACACGUUACUUUCUAUCCUUUGUCAUCAAAGCAAAGGGCAGAAAUACACAUGCUGUGGAGGAUAUCAUUUUGAUUGUUUUCCGAUUCCACCCUCAAAAGUACAGCGACUCCUGUGGACACAACUACAGCAUUCCCAAUAAUUGAGUUCAAAUUUUUUACUUUUCAUUGAGAUUUCCAUAAUGGUAUUCAAGCAAAAUAUAGAACCUGAUUUAAUUUUAUAUCUUGAAAAGGAAAUUAAUAAAUCCAAGAAUUUACAACUAGAAUUGAACAAGCUACAUUACUGAUUUGCAAUUCAGUGUGGGGUUAAUGAAUUAUGUGAUCUCUAACAAUAAAGCUAGCAGAUGCAACUGAUCCAAGCUAAAUACCAAUAGCAAUAGUGAUAGCAAUAGCUCAAAUUCCCAGCAUGACAAUACCAUAUCUCCCUUCCAUCUGCCUCAAAUGCAAAAUUCAAUUUCCUCAAUUUCCGUAAACAAAUAUUUUAUCAUAAUGUACAUUGAAACAGCUAAGGAUAGGAUAGAAUUGCUAAGCCAUUUGGCAGACCCCAAAAUUCAAGUCAUACAAACGAAGUCCCAAUUGCUAUAGGACAUACCACCCAAAAAUAUAAGAAUUAAACAACAGAUUGCACUAUGACUACAGACAACCAAAGAGACACUUCUCAGUUGAAAAAAGAAAAAGGAGAAAAAAGAGCCCAUGCAUCACAGCACCAUCUUUACUAUCUUUAAAUCACCUCAUAAGUCACGAGGGAAAUUGUUGAUUUGUCCUUCCUCCAAGACAUCCUUGUUGUUCAUCUUGUAAGCUAUCCUUAUGCGCAUGACAAGAGGUUUCUGAAAGUGACAGGAUUUUGUAACAAUGAAGUAUCUAACGAGCAAAAAAAGUUCUUAAAGAGAUGAGUUUUUGCAGAGCAGAAAUGACUCCUGACUGAUCCAAGAAAUUAGUAUAGGGCUUUCUUGGGUUUAUUUGGUGUUACAAGAUCAAGCAAACAUGAAAUAAUUCACAGCCUAUAUAUUGAUCAGAUUUAUGUUAACUUCAACAAUGCAUGUCAGAUAUUGCAUUAUAACUAAACAAGGCUGUUCAACCAUUUGAGAAGAAAAAAGGCUUAUGCAAUUAUUUUGUGUUCUCUAGGCAAUGGCUCCUCUUUUUCCCUUGGGAAUAGGGGAGAACCUGGCAUACAUAAGCUUGUGCCGCAGCAGAGGUGGUUUCUGUGAAGUUAGCAUUAAACGGACUUCGAAUUCUUGGAGUGACAUAUUGAAUGAAAAGGAAGUUUCUGACCUUAAAACUGAUAAUUCCUACAGACAAGGUUAUUCUCUCCUUCAAUAUCCACGAAUAUAAUGCAAAACAACAGUCUCCCAUCUGCUUCCCAACCUUUUUGUAUGAGAGAUGGCAGGGUAGAGGAGACUGGGAAGGGUUUAACGUUUCAUGCAAAAUACCAAGUACAUGAUGAGUGAUAAAGCCAGAGUGACAGGAAAUAUCACUUGGAAAAUCCAGACACUUUAGCCACCACUGCAUCAUUUUAUCCAAUAUUGUGGCAUAUAUAUCUGUAUUAAAUGAUUUACCUCCAUGAGCUUUUAUUUUCUCAUGCAAUCCGCAUAUCCAACUUCCAUGGCAUAUUUGAACCUCUUUUUCAAGUAUGCCAAUGCAUAAAUUAGAAGGCAAUAACAAAUGUAGACUUAGUUAGUUGUCCCUAGGAUAAGCAUUAACUAAAGCCUCUAUCCCCACUUUCCAGUAGUUCCACUACCAUGUGCCACCACAUUAAGACGGAAAUAAUUUGUACCCUGCAGACUCAUGGAGAAUCAGAUUUAAGGUGGUCAUCUUGCAAUUCAAUAUACAAGCCAAGCCAUAAAUAUUAUCGAUUCACCCGAUUCCAUGUCUCAGAAGCACUUCAAGGAUGCAGAAUGCCAUCUUAGGCACCUUAAGAAUGAGACUUUGGUCAAAUGAUAAUACAUCAUAUUCCACUACUUUAAAAAACAAGAAUUCUUUGAUUUUGUUCAUGCACAGAUUGAUGGCCUUCUACAAUUUCUACUUUGUUCAUGUUUGCCUUAACAGAAAUUACUAUCUUUUGUUUCAAUGAAUUGCUCUAAUCAAUGGGAAAAUAAAUUGCCAAGAUAUUAUUUAAUGAGCACAUAUAUUAGAGAAAACGCAACUCAUGUACCUUCCCAUGUAGGCUGUUAGUAACUCGCAAAUUUUGUGUGAUAGACCCAUUUCCACUUGCAGGAAGUGUGUUGCCACUGGCUGAAUCUAAGUGCAACUGAAGAAACUGUGACUCAAAAACACCAAAAGAUAUCUCAAUAGCAUGUAUAAAAAAUGUGACAAUAUCACAUGAAUUUAAAUUCUCAGCAUCAAACUUAACAAACUUCCAGUAAUCAAAAAUCAAUAUAGAAUAGCACAAAAGCAUAGCACUUGUUAAAUUACAUGAGAUUCAUGAAGACUGUAAGGUUAACUACCUGAACUCAAGCUUCUAGAACAGAAAAAUGUAGGACCAUGAUGAGAAACCAUGAUUUAAGUCAUACCAAUUUUUUCCCCACGAUUUGAAAAUAAAGUGAGCAGAAAAAAUUGAAACUGCAACUAGCUACCUGAAAACUACUUAAUUCUUCACAUAGAAACGUGAAUAUGCAAAUUACUUUUUUGAUUGGGAAAAACAGAAAGUAACAUGAAUUUUACUACUUUAUGAAAUUCUGGAAAAAGUACACAUAGAUGGGUCAAAUUACAAAUUGACAUAUUAACAGAAAUAUAAGUAAUACAGUGAAGAAGAAACAGAGAGUUCAACAGAUUGACAGUCAUCUAGUGUUACCUUUGGGACUGCUGCCUGGAAAAUAAAAUCUGUAAAGAUAUUAGGUGACAAAUUUGUAAAACUGGCCUGGACCAAUGUUGUUUGCGGAUUUGCAGGUGUCUUGGAGAAGUUGAACGUUAGCCUCAAGGCACUGCUCUCAAAUGCGACUAUAGAUGGAUAAACAGGACCAUUGUCCUCUGUUUAAGAAGAAGAUGGUAAUCAUUAUCUUGAGAACAAACUUUACAGCCUAGUAAAUUUCAAGUGCUAAUCAAGUGUUUACCAGGCAAUGGUAGGUUGGGGGCAAAGCCAUCCAACAAAUCCAUCAUAGGAGCAGCCCCUGCAGGAGAUGAGGCUUGAAUGGAUAUUGAAGAAGGUGAUGACAGUCUUUCUAAUGUGGGAGCUGGCAUCUUGUUAUCUUGACUAGAAGAUAAAAUAUCAGGUGUAGAUAAGCUGCUUUGUGCCGGAGGAGGUGUUCCAAUUGACAGAAGAUCCAGGAGAACAUCUGUACCAGCUUUUGGAACCUGAGUCAUACCUGAAAUGCAGGAGAGGGAGAGAGUCAGAAUCAAUAUGCAUUUAAGAUUAAAUAAGUUACCAUAAAAAAAUAAAAUAAAUAAAAAAUAAAAAAUGAUAGAGAAAAUGGAAUCUUAAACAGAGCACUGAAAAAUUUCAACUUCAAAACAAGCUAUUACUAAUUCCAUAAAGGAAAAUACAACCUAAUAAAUGGUUGUCCUCAUAUAGAACAAAGAAGUAGAAUGCACUUUUACAAGCAGGAAAAAGCUACUCAAGCCUCAAGGAUGGGCUGCAGAGGCCUUCAAUAUGUUGUAUGAGAGCAUUUGGUAGAAAGAACCACAAUUGAGUUUCUGAGAGUAAGUGGCAGAAUCAUUUUUCUUUUUUCCUCAUUGUACUCCAAGAGUACAAAGGGAUAGAGUAACUAAAAAAUAUUAAACACCAUUCAUAUUACAAGAGAGCAAAAUAUGAUAUCUGGCAGGCAGGCCUCAUUGAUUCACAUCCAAUGCAUUAUUAUUCACAGUUUUUAAUAUUUAUACAUGUGUUCAUACUAGUUUCUAAUAUAUGUGGCUACUAUUUCCAAUGUGCAAGGUAGGGAUGGGCAAAAUGGGGGUUGGGUUUGUUUCAACUUGGGUAGCUCUGUGGCCACAUGGGGAAUAUCCCACACUAGGAAGUAGUAAAAGGAAUAAAUAUAGUGAUAAGUUGAUCCUUCCUUGCUGUAGUAAGAAGCAAAUAUGAGGGAAAAUAAAAAUUUUUACUUCAUCUUCACAAAAGAAAAGAAAAAGGUAGAAGCAAUUAAUUGUGACACGAAAAUCAUUAGUUACUUAGUCUAGUUAGUUACUAGUUUAGCUAGACUGAAGCUGAGCCACUGCCUGUUAAGAUCAUGAGAAUUUAAACACUUUAUCUCAUUAAUUUAAUGAUCAAACAGAUGAAAUUUUGAAAAUAGGGGCCUUAGACCAAGCCAGACUUUGGAAAAUGUUAACACUUGCUUGAAUGCAGCCAAAAAGAAAAAAACAGAAAAAAAAAAAAAAAGGCUAAUACAAGUGGAAGGAUAAUGAAUACAAAAACAGAUGCAUAGAGCUAGCAUACAUUGGAAAAUAAUGGGAAGAGAUGCAAUUUCUCAGGUGAUCAUGAGAUAUGAAUCUCAAAAACUAACCUGACAAUGAUGAACCCACAGAUAAGUCAACACCAAGAAGAUCAUGAAGGAAAUCACCACCAGAAGAACUAGGUGCAGGGGUAUCAUCUGAACUUAGAUCAAGUAAAUCUACAAGAGGAGCAGCAGGGGGUUUGGCAACUCCAUUUGGAAGAUUAAGUGAAGCCCCACUUGACAUUGAAACAGUUGCUGGCAUAGAACCAGCCCUCCUUCCAUUGUAAGUUGCCUCAUCCAGAACUGGCAUCCUUUCUACCAGCACAGACCUGUAGACAUUCAUCCAGAACUUCUUUAAAAGAUGGAUAUGCUUUACAUGUGGCAAAUUUCUGGGGAAAAGACAUCAAGCACUGAAUGAUACAAAAUAUUACAACUUUCAAAUGCAUACCUGAUAUUUUGAUGCUUCCCAAUAAUGGAAUUAAAUUCAAUGGAUCUCUGCUGCAAUUCAAGCACAAGGCUUCCUUUACACUGGACAAUUAUAUCCCUUAUCCUCCUAUAAUUAACAUUUAAAGAACAAUUAAAAAAAAAUUCCAUUAAAAAGUAGCUGAAGAAAUUAUAGUAAAAUCAUAUGUUCGGCCUUUAACCCAACUAAGUUGACUUGAUAUACAUAGCCAGCCCAAUACCUCAUGGUUUAAGCUGUUGGGUCAAAUUGUUAGCAUAACAUGGUAUCAUGGCCUUGGUUUUUGGGAGGUCAUAAGUUCAGACUUCAGUGCUUGUUAAUUUCCAAAGAACAUAUGUAAGCACAAAGAAGGCCGUCAAUGAGGUAGUGUAUUGAUGUUUUAGUCCAAGUCAGAUUGAUAUACACUAUCGGCCCAUUACCUAACAACUUAAGCCUUUGGGUCAUAUUGGUAGCUUAACAAAGACAUUGGACAAGAGAUACAUUAAAGGAGGUCAACAUAGAUAAAGAUAUGUACAACAUAUUUAACAAAGGGAGGAAAAUAUGAUAGACUCUAAAGGUGACACAAACAAACCAGGUUUACUUUACUGAAAAAUGGCAACAGCAAAAGACAAAGAAAAGGUUUCACAAAUUUGACUUAGAGAUGAUAUAAGUGGGACAACUAUGAGAGAUCACCACGUCCAAUUAGUGGCUUGAAUGUAAAAGAAAAGAGAAGGGAGCAAAAACAAAGGAAUUGUAACAGGAAGCUCAGAGGAUAUUAAGAAAAGGGAACUGAAAUUAUUUUGCUUAAAAAGAAACAAAAUUACUAUAACUUAAGAGAAGAGAGGACAAGAAUUCAUUUCUUAAAAUAGAUCCAUCUUAAACCAGGCUAUUUAACCUUCAAAAAUAGAACAUGGUUAAGUGAUCAAUUCACUUUCAAUAGAAGGCUCUGUACAGACCUGAAGUGAAUCAAAUUGAGAAGUAGACAAAGGACAAUUUGGAAGAUAAAUUUCCAAAUGAUUUAUUUGAAAAUAACUAGGCCACAGUUAUGAGAGUCAAGGCGCUAUUGCCAGACACAAGUUCAAGCAAAAUUGUCUAGAAAGAGUUUCUAAAAGAAUCUAUGGACCAAUUAAAGGUAAGAAAAAGCCUCAGUUGCACAACUAAGCAUCCAAAUACGCAGGAGAGCUAUGACACAGGAAUGAGAAAAUAAACCAUCUUAAUAAUGAAAUGAAAUCUAUGAAGGGUAGAUAGCCAAAAUCAGAAAACCAACAGGAUAGCCAUAAACAUUCCAAACUUAUGCAAUGGCUAGUUUGAAAACAUUUACAUAAGAGCCAUUCACUUUCUGAAGUUUUACAAAUGCUGUGCAUAUAUUAAGGGUCAGUAGGGAAAAAGUUACAUCAGGAAGAUCAUGGGAAAUAGAACUUAUAAACAUUUAAAUAGAAGAAAAGGCAUGAACAUACUCUGAACAAGAUGGGAAACGACAUGAAAGCUUUAAGAGAGCAAUCAAAGCCAUAGCUCGAGUUGUGAGAUCUGAGGUAUGGCGCUUAAUGGCAAUCUCAAUGACAUCCACAGCAUCAGACUCUGUUACCUGCUUUACAUAUUCAGAAAAUGAUUACUUAAAACAAGAAAAUGAUUAUUUCAAACAAGAAAAGAAAAUAAGAAAUUAUACAUACACACACUAGCAAGUCCAUGCAUCCAACUUUUGCCACUAAAUAGUGACAUUCACAUAAGAUACAGCAAUGAGAACUUUUCCCACAUUUAUGUAUGUUAGGCUGACAAUUUUACAAUGUUUUCAGAAAACUUAUAAAAAGCAAUAAAGAUUUUAACAAGAAAAAAGAACCUAAAAGGGAAAACAGGAGAGAAUGACUGCUAGAGAAGACUGUAUAGUCUACAUCCAGCAAUAGCGAAGAAAAUCAUCAAAGGAAGGCACAGUGAGGAAUUAGAGAGGAAGGGAAGAAAACAAAGGUGAGCCCCUACAAGAUGAACCCUUUUUCAAGUGGAGACUCUUAAGUUGUUCAGGAUUACAGUUUUAAUGGAAUCAACAAUACACCAAGCUGGUAAUAAAGUUUCAAAUAUUUUAUGGUACAAAUACAUUUACGGGCAUCAAAGAAAAAAUUCCCUGAAUUUACUUACCAGCAUAUUUUGAAUGAAAUUUUUAAAUGCCAAUAGCAAAAUAUAUGUUACCGGUGUUAAUGUCAUUCCAUUUAUUGACAAUUUAUAAUAUAGUUGAUUGUAAGCAUUUAUCUCUCUGACAUAUAAAUGAAACACAAGGGUGAACCACCUUAGUUUAUUACUGUAACCAUGUAGCAGCAUUUGAUUUCUUAAACAUUGAAUACUUCAGCUGCACCCUUUCACUCUCCUUGGCAUCCUUUAACAAAUGUGACAUUCUGAUUAUAAAAACCUUAGCAGAAGGUUUGAGUCAACUUCUAUGAUUGCAAACUUUCCAUAGUGCAUGCACAUUCUCAAAAUUUUAUAAUAUUUCCAGCAUUCUGUUGUAGACAUUUACAAAAGAAACUGAACCAUAGAAAAUAGAAGGUGAACUCACAGUUAUAGGUUCCUCUAUAUCAAGCAUUCCAACAUUAUUGACUAACAUUUCACCAUAUUCUCCAAUGCACCAGACCGCCACUCGUACAAGGCAUUCCUGAUAAAAAUAUCAAAACAAUCUUCUAAGAAAGAGUGAGAGAAUAGAUUAUAUGAACACUCAGAGACUACUGGGUAGUGGAAAUGGGAACAGAUUUUUUUUUAGAACUAAAUAUAAAAAAAGAAAAGAAAAAAGAAAACUUAAAAUGAUCCAGAAAACAUGUCUAAUCACCCACUUUUAGAAACUGUUUACAGAAAUAUCCUCCAAAAAUGACUCUAUCUUGGAAAACUUUAAAAACGGUUUUAAUGUUCUGAAGCAUGCAAACACACUAAUAAUUGCAAAUGGUCUAAAAUGAGCAUGUCUUUUGCUUUUAUUUUUGAAAAUACAUUGUUUCUGGAAAAAGAAAAAAGGCAUUUACAUUUCCACUACCAAAUAGGCCCCCAGGUACUCAAGUAUUAGGAUUUCAUAUUAAACCUGCAUACCUGUUCCACUGAUGCUUGGAAUGCUCUGUAAAGGGACCUUACUGUAUAUCCAUGGAGGUCAGAAGCAUUGCUUAUUACAACAAUAAGGGCAUGCCAGACUUCAUCUUUUACAAAAUUUCCAGCCUAUGAAGUGUAGCAUAGAGAUUAGUACUUUCUAGAAACAACAUAUAGUUUGUCAUGUUAACAAAUGCUCAAAAAAAAAAGAAAAUAGUUUCAAAGGUGACACAAAUUAAAGGCUAAAACAAUUAGGAUCAAAAUGGUCCUAUCUGAAAACAUAUGAGAAAAAGGGAAGGUAGAGAACACGGACAAGAAGUUGCAAGGAAAAAUAUAACCUUUUACUCAACAGUAAAUAUUGCUGUAGAGUAAGCAAAACUGCCAAACACGAUUUUCUUUAUCUAUCCCAAAUAUUUGAUGCUUUUCCUGGCUAGAGAUAAAACUAAGUGGCUAUUUAAUGAAAGAGCUAAUCACGGAAAAAUGAAAAAAAAAAUGGCAGGUUUCACUUUUUAAAUGUGUUUGAUAACAUAAAUUUCAUAGCACUUGUCACUAAAUUUUUGUCUAAAACUUAGAUUUUUCAGUUAGAGCAUAAUGUAGUUUUUCGAUUGCAUUUUCAUCUUUCAAAAUUUAUUUUAAAUAUUGAAUCCUUUCUUAGCUUAUCAAUAUUUUCUAUGAUUUUUUUCCCUGUUCUUAUAAAUAUAAAAAUAAAUUUUUAAUAUAUUUUUAAAAAAUUUAACUAGAUUUAGUUUUUUACUUGUUCAAGUCUCCAACUAUACUUAAACUCCUCUAGUUUAUUCAUAUAUUAUAUCAAAUUAAUAGCAAUAACAACAACAAGAAUAUAUCAUUACUAAUGUGCUACAUAAAUUAUAAAUUAAACAUAUAUUAUACUUGCAAACUAAUUUUCAUUCUAAAUAUUUAUAUGACAAAGGUUUUGAUUUCAGUAGUUUAUAUAUAUGCAAAAUUAAAAGCACUUUAUUAAAAUUGAAACAAUAAUUUUAUUGACAUGUGCUCUGUUUUUCAGACAAAAAGAAAAAGAUAAAAAAAAACUUAAAUAGUUAUUCUAGGGACUUCAUAUGGAUCGACUUAAUAUUAUAUUAAAAUGAUACAACAUUUGUUAAAAUACAUCACAUACAAAUUGAUAAUACUGUAUUUUCCAAGUCCUAUAAUAAAUUAUUUUCAAACUUCAAUCAUAUUUAUGUUAUCAAAUAGUUAAUUUAAAUUUGCGAAGAUAAUUUGAGUUUUAUUAUGCACCCCAAGUUAAUAUUUCAAAAAUUGAAAUUCAAAAACAAGCUUCAAAUAUGCAAUUUAGAAUCAAUAGAUUGGACGAAUUUCUGUCUUUAAUGCAUACCUCAGAAAGAACCUUGAGCAUCUGAUCAAUGUACCAUAUUUUCUCAGGGGAAAACCUAAAACAUGAAUAGUAAACAUUAUUUGACAGAAUAUUACCAGAAAAAGAAAAGUUGGAAGACCAAAAGUAGUUCCGAUCUUUUAUUAUGGUUCAUUAUGUCAACUAAUUCUACAAAUUUAUGUACAUUCAGAUAUGUGUGUAGCAAGUCAUAAACUUAGUCUAUACCCACAGUAGGAGAAGAUAUGAGGAUUAAAAUGAAACAAAGUGUAAUCUACAUAUAAGUCAGUACUAGAUAAUUGUGACAAUCGACAGAAUGCAACACACUGAUAAUUGACUGACCAAAUUCCUAAUGAAUGUUGCUUUGCUAGGAUGGAGGCAUGGAGCAUGCAUCAACCCCAAAGUUUUAAUAGGCAGGGAAUGGUGUGUAAGAGUGGAGAGUGAUGGAUGUACACUACUUCAAGUCACCUACUAUUUUUCCUAUGCAGGGAACCAUUAUCAAUCCAGAACCACAUCAAGUUCUCAUAGUAAGUAGCUUGAUGCAUUGAGACUACUCUUGCAUAUUACAGUUCAUACAACAAGCAGCAAGCAAACUGAAAAUGCAACUUCUCAGACAAAGAAGGGUAAAAAACAACUUUAAAUUAAUGAACAUUUUUGGUGUUUAACUUACUUUUCAACAAUUGAGCAAAUUUUGGCGGUCAGAUCUCCCUUGAAUUCUGGAUCGCUUACUUCAAGAUAAUCAAUUAGCUCUUUUGCCAAAGGCUUCACAUUGCUGUCAUUCACUAGAACAUAAAUAAGUUCAAGGGCCCUUUUCCGAAUUGAAGCAUCUGAAUCCUGAAAGAGAAUAUUAAAGUUACAAGCUUUCUAUAUGUAUAUUAGAAGUGGCUGUGGCAAUUUUGACACAAUCCGAUAACACAACUAAAAAACUACACGAAUUUUAGUAGGUUUGGGCUACGUGCAAUCAUGUUCAUGUUAUAAUCAUGUUGACUCGUGAUUCGUUUGAUAAAUGAGUCAUAUUCGUGUUCGACCAUUUAAUCUGUCUAACUCAUUUAAGCUAUUUGCUUAAUUGUGUCAAAAUGACCCAUUUAUGAUCCAACCUGCUCAUGACCCAUUUAAUCCAUAUAAAUUUAUUAAUUUUAUAUAUUUUAAAAAUUAUAACAAUUAGCACUAUUUUUUUCAAUUAUAAAUAUCAUAUAGUUAAAAAAACUAAAUAUCUAAGUAAAAUUUUAUAGAUUUCAUUAUAAAGAUUAAAAAAUAAUUUAUAAUUAAAACAUUAAAUAAAAUAAUAAAAAAUAAAAAAUUAAUAUUUUAAUUUAUUUUCCAUAUUAUAAACAUAUUGUAAUUAAAAUUAAAUAAUUAAAUUAAUUAAGAUUAUAAAACUUAUACCUUGAAAGUUAAAUCAACUAAAAAGUAUUUUUUUUUUAAAUAAAUUAAAUUUUAAAUUUUAAAUAGAUUAAAUGGUUUAUAAUAGUGUUAAUAGAUUUAAUAGAUUAGAAUUUUGUUAACAGGUUAGAAUUGUGUUAACAAGUUAUUUGUGUCAAUUUAUAACCAGUCUAACCCAUUUAUUAAAUAGGCUAAAACAAAAUGAUUGUGUCUUGUUAUUCAUGUAAUAGACAAGCUGUGUUCAUGUUAGGUUUUUGACAUGAUUAUCAAACAGGUCGCAUUUUGUUAAACUAUAUUCACAAUAUUUCUUAUCUCAACAUGACACGACCCAUCGGUAUCCCUGACUGGAAGACAUACAAGAAUGGGCAUUUGAUUUCGUGUACAAACUGCAUCAUGUAAAAAUGUUUAAAAUCAUUCUAUUUGAUUUGAUUCCAAGACAUGUACUAAUAACAGCUUACACUAAUCAAAAUGCAAGAAAAUGAAAAAGAAUAAAGAACAUUCAUUUUGAAAAAAAAAAAACGGAAGAAAAAGGAAACAGAAAAAAAACCACAGAUUCAAUAUGGGUAAAACAAAACUAUUUGCUGCACUAGCAAGUGCACAGGAAGAAGUUUGCAUCCCAAAUUCCCAGUCAAUGUUGGUCCAGGAAUUACAGUAUUUAUUGAAGUACAAGAACAUAGGCAGCCACACAAUCAUGUACAAUAUAACUAUCUUCAACUAAUAAUGUGUGUUUCAGUUGAUAAUAAACACUUUUCUUUUAUAGGCCAGUCAAGAAUGAAAAAAGUAAAACAAACUAAGAAAGCAGAAAAAAAGAAACUCUUUUAGAGUUUUAUCAAUCAAGAUUCCAGUAACUUGUUGAAGUGUUGACCCAGCAAGAAAUUGGACAUUGCCAUACAAUACCUUUACACAUUCCAAAAUUGUUGCCCGAUGCCUCUGCACUGCUUGCGCAUCUACUGUAAUAGCCUUCAUCAGCAUAUUCAAUGCAACAUAUCUGACAUACAACAUUAGGUUCGCCCAUAUAAAAUAGCAAAAGGGACAAGCCAAUAUGGAGAUAGAUAAGAGGAGGACAAAAUGCAUGCAUCCAGAAUAACAUUUAAUGAAAAAUAAUCCAAUCUAAGGGCUGGAAUAACUAUAGGGCCAAAGAAUAACAGAGCAUGCAAUUAGUUUUAGGUUACCAAAGAAUCCCUGAAAACAAAUGAGAAUGCAAAAAUAUCAUUGAUCAGAUCAUAAUUUCACCUCCAACAGUGCAAACUUCGGUGGUAAAACAAAUAUAAGUCGACAAUACCCAUGCAUCCACAUGGUCAAAUUUUAACCUAGGUGGCCAUAGGUUGUUUUUCAAGCCUUAUGUCAGCUAUAUGGCUAGAAGCAACUUUUGACUGUUACAAGCUUCAAGCUUACUUUGUUGUGAAGCAAUAUCUCAGGGGAAAAAAGAUCUCUUAACAUGACAUUUACAGCACAACACUAUCAAGGAUAUUUGAACCAAUCUUUAACAGGGAGAAAUUAUGUGCUCCUGUUCAAAAAAUGUCAACCCAAUGAUAAUAGCAACUUAGGAAUCUAAUCAACAAAAAUAAAUAGACCAUAUAUUCAUGCCUAGGUUGAACUCCAAAAUAAAAAAUAAUGAAAAUUUACCUGAUAUUGUUGUCACGAUUUGACAAGAAUCUUCCCAAGAUAUUGAUGGCAAGCACACGUAAGCCACUAGUAUCUUCAAUGCUCAUAAUAGUUUCAACACAUUCAUACAAAAUGGCAUUCCCAGCAUUUUUGUUUGACUCAGUUUUUGUUGCCACCUAGAAAAGGAAUGUAGCAUGUCAUGAAACCACAGUAAGUAAACUUUGUCCAUUUAUGCAGCGUAUUUUUUUCUAGGUAAAUAAUAGCAGCAUGCACAAACACAUGUAAGGUAAUAAACUCUGUCCCUUUAUGCAGUACAUUUUUCAUAGGCAAAUAACAACAAUCUACAUGCCACACAUGAAAAAAGGUGUCCAGCGAAAAGCCUACAUGCCACACAUGAAAAAAGGUGUCCAGCGAAAAGCGGGUGAACCAUGGUGCACUGGGCCUCUACAAGGAAAACUAGAAGCCAAAUGAUUCAAAAAAAGUAGAGGGUGGGAGGUGGGGGUGGGGGUGCGGAUGUGGGUGUUGGAUGUAAUUUUGAUAGCCAACAAAGCUACAGAUCCUAGAAAAAAAGGGAUUGGGAGGGGUGCUUGCAAAAUAGGCUGUGGGCAUAAAUGGAUGGACUGGAUUGAACUCUGCAUUUCUACUAUUUGAUUCUAUUUUUAGUGAAUGAACCCAACAUGUUUCUUUCAGAUUUCCAGGGGCUUGAGGGAGGGUGACCCCCUCUCCCCUGUUUGUUUUAGUAAUACGAGCAUUUUUUUUUUUUUUUUGUCUUAUUUCCAGCACAGUGCAGGACAGUUUUAUCAGUUGGUUCAAGGCUUAGAAUAGAGAAAAGAGGGUGGAGGUUUCCCAUCUCCUCUUCAUGAAUGAUAUGCUACUCUUUUGUGAAGCUGGGAAAGAGCAAUUAAUGAACUGGAGAUGGACUCUUAUCUACUUUGACAUAAUUGCUGACCUGAAAGUCGAUCUUCAGAAGAGUAAGCUCAUACCAAUGAGGGAGGUGCUUAUUUUUGGAAGAAGGGAAGGAAUUUGCUUGCUUUCUAAUUGUGUCAUUCAUUAGGGGCUCCAUUCAAGUCCUAUGGUGCAUGAGAUCCAUUAGAACAACAUUUUAAGUGGAGGCUUGCAUCCUGGAAGAAGCAUUACUGGUCCAAGGAGAGCUGACUGAAGUUCAUCAAAGCAUACUCUCUAGUUUGCUGACUAACUGUGUAUCCCUUUUUUUUUCCUUUUUUUUUUUUUUUUUUGCUAGGGUAACUGUGUAUCCCCAUCUGCCAUUACUAAGACAACCAUUGAUCCUGUCAAGAAUGUUCAACACGACUUCUUGUGGGGAUAUGUUUUCCCCGAAGGCAUCUAGUGAAGUGGAUAACAGAACGUUAUUGUAUAAGGGUAAAGGGGAUAAGAAAUAAGAAGCCUUUCUACCCUAAGUAGGACUUUACUCAAGUGGAUAACAGUUUGUUUUUGUAUAAGGAUAAAGGGGGUAAGAAAUUAGAAGCCUUUCUACCCUGAAUAGGACCUAGUAAAUGGUUGAGGAGGUUUGUAGCAUAGCAGGAUUGUCUAUGGAGCUGCAUUAUUUUAGAAAAAUUUAGGGAGAUAGACAAGAGUUAGGGUUCCAAAGAGGUGGAGGAAGGGUAUGGAGUGGAUUUAUAAAAAACUACUAGAAGAAGUUGGGACGAUUUCUAGCCUAGAACUAGUAUUUAUGUAAGGAAUGGAUCCAGAGCCAAGUUUUGGUUUGAUGGGUGGUGUGGGGAGUAUCCUCUAAAAUAUUGAUUUUCUACGUUGCUCAGAAUUGCUUUCUAUUAAUAUGAUAGGAUUGUGGAUAUUUGGGUAGCAAUGGAAGAAGAAUGACAUUGAAGUCCUAUUGUUUUUUAGAUCUUUCCAUGAUUAGGAGGUGUAGAUGGUGAAUUUGCACAUUCGCUCCUUGGUUACUCAAGGAAUAGUGAGGACAUUAGUAUGGACAUGUGUAAACAAUGUGUGCUUUCAACUGCUCCAAAGCAGAUAAAUAGUCAGCUGAACACUUGCUUCUCCACUGCUCCAAGGCAAAAAUCUUGUGGCAACUAGUUUGUUCUCUAUUUAGAAUGGCUUGGGUGAUGCAGUCCUCUAUGAGAAGCAACCUCCUUAAUUAGCAUGAUUCUUAUCUUGGAGGGUCACUCCUGUGCACCUGUAUUAUUCGUUAUGGAAAGAAAGGAGGGUGUUCAAAAACAACGAACUCAGCUUUAUUUGGAUGUUUUCAGGGGUACAUGGGCCGGUCCAAAUUAGGGAAAGAAUUUUUUGACAUUGUUCUGUCACAUUAGAGGGAUUUGGAAUGACCCAUGGUGAUCAACGGUGAUUUCAAUGUAGCGAGUUUUCUAAGUAAAGGAGGAACUACCUAAGAACUGCAGUUGAAAUGAGGCAUUUUUCAAAAAUCACUGAAGAGCUUGAUUCCCUCUAGUAGGUGGAAAUUUUACUGUGUGGUGAUUUGAAGAAUUAGUCAUCAUCUAGGUUGGAUCACUUCCUGGUUUCUGAAGAAUGUGAGAAUCAUUUCAUUGGUCUGAACCAGAGUGUUCUGCCAAGAUCAGUUUCUAAUCACACUCCCAUGUUACGAGAUGGAUGUGGGCUGAGGGAUGGGUACAACGCCCUUCAAGUUUGAAAAUAUGUGGCUGAAAGAGAAAGGGUUUAAAGACCAAAUUAGAAAUUGGUGGGUGCACUACACUGUUAGGGAUUCGUAUAGCCACAUCUAGGUAGCCAAGCUGAAACCCCUUAAGCAUGAUCUUUAAGCUUGGAAAAGAGAGGUAUUUGCAAAUGUCACUUCCAACAAAGCUGCAACUCUAAAUCAGAUUGGUUUUCAGGAUGCAAAGGAAAGGGAACCAUUCUUUCAAACAAGGCAAUGAAGGAGUAUUGCAAGUGGGCAGCAAUGGAAGAAGUCUCAUAGAGGCAAAAAAACAAGAGAAUUAUGGCUUAAAAAGGAAGAUUAAAAUACAAAGUUCUUACAUAAAAUAGUCAAUUAUUUGGCUAAAAUUAAGGCGAAUGGAGUAUUGUUGUUUGAGGAUGCAAACAUAAAUGAGGGAGAGGUAAACACUUUUCAUAGCCUUCUUUCUGAGUUGGAAGAUUGGAGACCCAAGCAUCAAUGGAAUGAUUUUUGAAAUUUUUGGUAGUGAUGACUCAGAACAUAUAGAGACUCCAUUUUCUUAGAAGGAGGUCUUUUCAGCACUCUCUAGGUUGUGUGUGUGUGUGUGUUGUGGGGGGUGGGGGGGUAGGAGGAUUUGUGCAAAGGAGAAGACAAUAUGGUUGAUCACAUCCUCCUUCCCUGUUGAAAAGCAAUCAUGUUGUGACAGUCAAAUUAGUUUGAGUCUACAAAUCAUUUUCGCAUUCACUAUGGUUGGGCCUAUAAUCUUUAGAAACUUUUGUUCUCCUUUAAGAUUCAAUGGGCAUUCCCAUGGGUGGCUAGCACAUAAGAAUUGUGGACAACCAAUGCCAGAAGAUGUGAACGUGUAGGCACAUCUUUAUUUGGUGCAUAUAGAGACGGUGAAAUGGCAUAACUCCCAAAGAGUAAGAGCAAACUAAUUAGUCAUUGAAAGCCAUUUUCCUCUAUUCUCUUUCCAAAGGUUUAGCUUCAGGAAUGCCAAUAUUGCACUUCUGAAUUUCAUUGAUGGGACUGGGUAAGGGUCAAGGGUUAGCAUUCAAUCUUCUCUCCUUUUCUUUCUUUCUUUCUUCUUCACCCUUAAGCAUUCCUAGUAUUAAUCCUAGGUACUUGGCACUCAUCUACAAAUAACUUAGACUCAGACCACAGAAAACAAACAAACUCCCUUUUCAGCUUUUGAAGAGAAAAAACCACAUCACAGAAAGUAAUGUUGUUCUAGGCCUUCCACACUGUUCAAAACAAACACAAAGGACUUACUUGUCAAACCUUCUUUCGCUUUUUGCCCACAAAAGAACCAUGUCAACCCAGCAAAGUAUCUUUAACAGACAAAGAAAGCACCCAAGACACCCCAAAAAGUACAAAAAUCAGCUCCCAUAAAACCCAUGUCAUUUCACAAUGGAGUAGCAAAUGAUCAAUAAAUUCAUCAUGUCCAAGGCAUAAAAAACACCUAUUUGCUAAAGACCAACCUUUGACCCAAGGUUAAAACUUUACCCCACACUGCCUCCCAAGCAAAAAAAAAAAAAAAAUUUGGCUGGACCCACAAAAUCCAAAUUCCACUCAUUGUUUCUUUAUUAGUGUGUGCUUUUUAGCUGCUUUCCGUCAGGUGAACGUAUAUUUUGUUUUCCUCUUAAUAAAAUUUCUUUAUUUAUAAAAGAAGAUUGGAAAAACAAUCAAUGUUUCACUGGAAUGCAGCUCAUGAUCAUUGACGUGAACAGACUUGCAAGCACAAAUUGCCAAUUACCAGAAUACUAUAUCUCAAAUAAUAGAACAAAGUAUGGUUGAAAGAGAAAGCAUAGAAGCAACAGACCUGAGCAAGAAUGUCAUUCAUACAGUCACUAGCAUCUGCAUCACCUUGGCCCAGCACCCGUAAAAGCCUAAGCAAUCUGAUAUGGAGGAAAGGGUCUGUAAUCCCAGCAAUAUCGUACUCAGGUGCAUAAGGACUGUUCACAACAUCCUUUAGAACUUUGACCAAAACCUCUGUGCACUUCUACAAUAACAGAAAAAUAACUUGUCACAACAGGAAAACCAAUAGCAUGUCAAAGCUUAGGUGGUGUUUGUUUUUUUACUUAACUCUAAAUAGAACUUUAAUGUUUAAUAGUAUUAAGUAUUAGAUUGUUUGUUUUAGUAAUAUUUUAUUUCUAUUAAGCAUUAAAAAGUAAAGAAAAAUCAACAUGUUGCUUUUUCCAUUUAGAAAAAGCCAAAUAUUUUGGUUUUUUCUAUUCAGUAAAAAGUUUAUAAUAAGUUAUGAAAAAGUAGAAAAACAAACAACCUAAAGUUUAAAAGCAAAUUGCUUUCAGCAAAAAUCUAAAAAAACAAACACCCUCUUAGUAUCAUUGGUCAGUUUCUUUCCUCAAGAAAAAAUCACUAAAUUUUGUAGCUAAAUAAGAAACAAUUCCAUAGCUGAUUACCAAUACAUGAAAUAAUUAAAAGAUAAGCAAUGAAAGAGGAAAAGGGUAGAAUUUGGUAUUCAUUUUCAAAAAACACAAACUAUGUAAAGACUCAAUCUGCCCAAAUAGGCAUUAUUGUACAUCCAUAUAUAUUUUCUAAAUUAUAAACACAACGUUAUUAUUGUAUAUUUGUAUUCAGAAUGCAAGGUUAGCUAGUCUGCUGUACCCUCUUAACCUACUUCAAAACAGAUGUUAUCAGUUAUAAGUUAAAACCAAAAAACUUUAACAGAAAUGUAUUUCUAGUUACACUAUUAGCUGGAAUGUCAAAGGUUUGUGAGAUAGCAGGAAAUUAUGUAUUUUAGGAGCAUCAUCAAAGAAGACUAGGCAUUUCUUGUGAGAACCAAAGUGGAGGCCACAACUACUACUGUGAUUGGAGACUUGUCAGAAGGAAAUAUGCCAAUUUCUUCUAUCCCAAGAAGCACUUGGUGGAAUUUGUAUGAAGCACGGAUGUUCUUCAGCAAAGUCAGAUGAAACUUCUGGAACACAAGAUGGCUCUCAUAGAUAACUUAGGCCCAAAAUGCAAAUGAAAUGAAAGGGACUAGAAAUCUAGAAUUUCCCAGCUACCACAAGCUUUAUAGGAAGAAAUUUCUAAAUGGACGAGCACCUCAGUGAGGCAUCUUAGACUUAGCCUAGUUGUUAGGAGCACAACCAAAUAAUUAGUAGGCUGGAGAAGAAAAUCUUAGUAGGGUAGCACAGGACAAAAAUAAUUCCCUUGAGUUUCAGAUUAGAUGCAACCAAAGGUCAUCAUCCUCCCAAGUGAGAAUUCCCGGUGGGUAAAUAAUUAGUAGUUGUGGUAGAAACAAAUGUGAUUGCUUCCUUUUUCCUCUUUUUUUUUUUUAAUCUGAUCAAUUUCCAUCCAUUUUAGAUUCCAAUGAUCAAUGAUUGGCAAAAAGUCUUGUCCCUUUUUCCUUCCUUAAUUAAGUAAUAAUAAGUAUUCAUUCAUGAAUAAACAGUAUACGAUAUGUCCAUUGCAGAGAACAACAUUGGCAUGGAUUGGGCAUGAAAAGGGCUGGCCAGAAAGAUAUCAAAUUGAAAACAGAGGAUAGAAAAUUAGCAAAAACAACCAAGUUCUAUGAGAAUCAUUUACAUACACUCAUCAAAAUUGAUCCACACUGGAGCCUUAAAAAGCCAUCAUACUAUCAAUUAUGUGCUCCAGUGCAUAAAAUUCAUAGCUUCAACUGUUUGGAUAUCUCCUGAUACAAACCUUUCCAUGGAUAUCAAAAGGUUCUCUUUUUCUUUUCCAUCUUCUUUCUUCUUUUUAAUAGGCUACACUAUAACUGUUUUCUGUAGAGAUCAAAUUGAAUCUCAUGAGAAAGAAAAAGGGGGGAAAAAGGUUGCAGCUAGGCAUAACCUCCAAAUCCAAGCACCUUAGCCUUGGCAUUUUUGGAUAACCUUUGGCUGAUAGACUGGGUAAUAUAAUGAAGAAACUCUAAUUAUCUGUGCUCAGUUGUAUGAAAUGGAGUUCUUGUGCAUUUUCACAUGGACUUUGUUGCAGCAUGACACCUCAAGCAGAACAUAAGUAGCAGAUAUAGUCAUCAAUCAUGUUGUCAAAUGACCAACACAUGGAAAGGGGAAAGGAGGGGGGAAAUCAAGAGAAUUUUUCCACACAAUACAGGGCAGAAAGUUACAUAUGAUUCAAUAUGACAGAAUGUUUGUUUCCAAUAUGCAGGCAACAUACUGACUAGGACGUGGUCAAGUUACCUUCCUAAAAUGUUCAAGGGCUUCCACGCUGACUUUGCAUAUCUCUGUACAAAGCUGAACUCCAGUUAUCAAAACUCCAUGGUGCUUUUCUUUAAGUAAGUUGGUAGCAGGAUGCAUAAAAUUUUCUGCCAGAUCUGGAACUUUCCUUAUAAUCCUUAUAGAGCAUAAUGCUGCCUAUUUUUUACACAAAGUAGGUAAUCAAUUCAAAGUCAAGAAAGAAUAAAGACAUACAAUAGACCAAAUAAAUAAAGAGAAACAUUAAGUAUUAAACCCUAAAUAUAUAUAUAUAUAUAUAUAUAUAUGGUUCAGGUAUAAUUUAUUUUUUUUAAAAGCAACAACAAACAUAAGAAUUGCAACAAAUUGACCAAAGCCUAAAGAAAAUAAACCUAGCAAAUAAUAACAACGAUGGAUAGUAAAUAUAUCUUGAGUAGUCUAACAAAGAAUGAUUGACCUUCUAUUCAAUGAGAGAAUUAUGAUCUUUUUUAUUUUCUUUUUUCCUAUCGUGCUAAGAUUGAAAUUGUCAAAAUACAUUCUUCAUAAAGCCUCCAAGAGAAAAACAUAAUGAAGAGGAUAAAAAAUCUCAAUCCACUUCUAAAAUGGACGAAAACGAUAAGAGCACAAAAAUGAGAAAUAGAUUGCCAAUGGGCUAGUCAAUCAACAUUAGCAAUAAUAUCUAAAUAUGAAAGUUUGUCUCCUAAUAAGACCAUUGGUGCCCUUCCUCCAUAAGGAGGGCAAAAGGUUGACAAGUAAAAGUGAAGAAUGGUUGACAAGCAACUUCAUAGUCCUGAUAUACAUCACAUCCAAAAGAGGUAACUAGUCAACAAAUUUAAUUAUUUGAGUUGGUGAAAGGGAGACCAUAGCUAUGAACACGUGGAUUGGGUUGGACCAUGCACUAGAUAGUAAGAGAUUUCAUACUAGAUGGAGAUCAUGGAUGAGGAGGCGUUUCUCCUCAACAAGUUUUGCAAUCUUGGUGAAUGGAAAUGACAAGGGACGGUUUAAAGCAACCAGAGGAUUUGGGCAAGGAGAUUCUCUUUCUCCUUUCCUUUUCACCACUACAGUAGGCAUUUUAAGUAGUAUGCUAAUACGAGUAGGGGAAAAUGGUAUUUUGGAAGGGUACUUUAUAAAGACUUGUUCCCAACCAUGUAAAUAUUGUCCGCUUUGGACCCAAAGAGACCCUCACGACUUUAAAACGUGUCUACAAGGUUAAGAGGAGUCUAUACUUAUAUAGCGCCAGGAACUUUCCCCCCUAUCCGAUGUGAGAUGUCACAAACACCCCCCCCCCCCCCCCCUUCCAGACACAACAUCCUUGUUGUGUCUAAUGGGAUUGCAGGGCCAAACAGACAAACACCUCCUACGAAGCCAAACAAACCCCCAUACCAGGAUUGGAGAUCAGCUCUGAUACCAUUUGUAACGACUCGCACCCAACCGUGUAGAUAUUAUCUGCUCUGAACCCAAGGGGGCCCUCACGGCUUUAAAACGCGUCUAUAGGGUUAAGAGGAGUUCAUAAUUACAUAGCAUCAGGAACUUUUCCCCCUAUCCAAUGUGGGAUGUCAUAUUAUUAGUAGGGAGGAGUAGAACUAGAGUAUUACAUUUGCAAUUUGCAGAUGACACUAUCUUUUUUUCUAAUGCUAAUGCAGGAGAGUUGCAAAAUCUUAAGUUUCUCCUAUUGAUUUUUGGGCGCAUUUCAAUAAUUAAGUUCAGGAAUCAAUACAAGCCAAAAUCAAAUUAGUAGAUUGGCUUUGUUGUUAGAAUGUAAAGUUUCUAAAUGACAUUUACCUUAUUUGGGUCUUCCACCAAAGGAGAAAUCCUAAGGCUAGCAUCUUAGGAUUUCUCCUUUGGUGGGAUAUCACAUUAUUAGUAGGAAGAAGUAGAACAAGAGUAUUACAUUUGCAAUUUGCAGAUAACACUAUCUUUUUUUCUAAUGCUAAUGCAGAAGAGUUGCAAAAUCUUAAGCUUCUCCUAUUGAUUUUUGGGCGCAUUUCAAGAAUUAAGUUUAGGAAUCAAUACAAGCCAAAAUCGAAUUUGUAGAUUGGCUUUGUUGUUAAAAUGUAAAGUUUCUAAAUGACCUUUACCUUAUUUGGGUCUUCCACCAAAGGAGAAAUCCUUAGGCUAGCAUCUUUUGGGAUCCAUUCAUGGAUAGAAUUUCAAAAAGGUUGGAUGAGUGGAAAAAAAGUAUUUUGACUUUAGGCGGAAAAAUAACUCUAAUUCAAUCAUGUUUGUCUCACAUCCCUAGUUAUUUCCUUUCGUUGUACAAGAUCCCAUCCUUAAUGGCAACAAGCAUUAAGAAAAUGCGAAGGGUCUUUCUUUGAUCAAGGUUUAGGGAGAGAAAGAAAGAUCAUCUUAUUAUUUGAAUUCAAAUAUGCAGGCCUAAGAAGGAGGUUUAAGGUUUGGGAGAAUAUCUCUAAGGAAUAAAGCCCUUUUAGGACUUACCCCUAGCUAGGGGGGUGUUUCACCCAGUGUGGUGGCCUGAGCAACAAAUACUCAUCUAGGCUAGACCAUUUCUUAGUCUCAGAAGAGUGGGAAAAUCACUUUAAUGGUCUCUCUCAGAAGUUGUUGCCUAGCCUAUGUUUGAUCAUGCCCCCAUUCUUCUAGACGAAGAAGGGAACAGGAGUUGUAAACCCCCCUUUCAUUUGAGAACAUGUGUUGAGUCUCCAUAUAUAUACAACCAUAAAAAAAUUUUGAAAAAAAAAAAAGGAAUGGAAGUUUAUAAGGCAAUAUAGUUGAGUCAUCUAUAUAGCCCUUAAGGCCUCGCUCAGGUGGAAAAAGGUUGUGGGAGGUUCCAAAUUCAAGUCCUAAUAGGAUAAAAAUUUACUUAUCAAAAAAAAAAAAAAAAAAAAUUAGUUGAGUCAUCUAUAUAAGUUUAUCCUCUUUGUUCUUUUCCAAUCCUAGGUUUGCAAAUAUGUGGAUUUUUUUUUUUUUUUUUUGGGGGGAUAGGUAAGGUUUGCAAAUAUGUGGAUUUAACCCUCUAGAAUUAAUAUAAUUAUUAACGAGUUAACUAAAGUACGCAGGUGAUAACUCUUGAGUAUUGCCAAGAUCCAAAUCCUAUAUUACUAAAGUGUCAAAGUCCUUGACUGAAUAUGCCCUUGAGACUUGGCUCAAGAGGCAAGGGGUGGGGUGGUAAUGUGGAAGGUUCCAAGUUCAAGUCAUGAUAGGUACAAAAAUAUAAAUGCUAUCUAUCAAAAAUGAAUUCUCUUAUCCAAAUGAUAAUAAAAGAAACCAAUAGGGUCUUCUAUCUACAAAUAGGAGAUUCUUUCAAUAUGUGGGUUAGGUUAUAGGUGGUGGGUAUAGACAUAUGGUUGACUUCAUAGAUUGGUUGGGGCUUGGAUGAGGCACAAAGCAUUUUUUUGUGUUCUCUCUUUCCUAUUUGCACUUUGUAUACAUCCCAUAUACUCAUAUGCUUUUUGCGCCUUUUAAUACAUUCUCUUACUUAUCAAAAAAAAAAAAGGGAAUGCUUACUUUUUUCCGAAUAUUUGGAUCUCGAAAUUGCAUCAAUCUCUCCACUUCAGGUGCAAGAUCACGAGCCAUUUCUGCUGAACAAAUAUUUCCCAGAGCACAAAGAGCAAGUCCCACAAUGUACUGGUUGUUAUGAUUGAGAUCUCUAAAUAUAAGUUAAGGUUCCUGCAAAGGAGUGAUGAUUUUUUUUUUUCUUUUCGACUUUGUAAGAAUAUCGUACCAACGAUAAUGUUUUUUUUUUUUUGAUAGAUCGUACUAGUGAUAAAGUUUAUCUUGGUAAAGACAAGGACCAGCUGCCUGGUCUGAAAUUAGUCAAGCAAAUGAAAAAUAAAACCUACUUAGAAUUGGAUACUGUUUUAAUGAGUUUGUAACCAACAUAAGAACUUCUUGCCUUUCAUCAAGAAGCAACAUGAGGCCAAGAUAUCCUAUUCUCUUUUCCGGAAAUCCAGCCGCUGCAAUCAAUUUCAGGCACUCCAUUUGACCAAAAUGUGUGGGGUAACCAAGCAUGUGAAUGAACAUGAGCUUUGCUAGGUUACGGUGCCUAUAGUCAUGAUCAUUUUCACUGACUGAUGCACGAAUAGCAGCACAUUCCUUUCUUACAACAGCACGUUCCUCUGCUGCGGUUUUGCAAGCACGGAUAGCCCGAAUCAUGUCCCUACAUCAAAAUAGUAAACAUAUGUCACACGAUGGGAUAAACAUGCUCAAUUUAAGAAUUUUAGUUUAUUAAGAAUUAAUAUCCACUUAAGAAGAAAACAUAGCAAAUACAUCGAUAAACUGUUUGAUGCAAGUAAUAGCAAAUAUGGUUAUAAACAACAUGGAUGGAAAAUUUAUGAUGGAAACCAUUUGAGGAGGGGAGUGGCAGGAAUAGCUUUAAUUUCCAAUCACAACUUGUAAGAGAGGGAGAAAUACUCAUGCAGUAAGAUUUAUCACAUAUUAAUCCAAUAUGAACUACAUCUAUCGUAAAAGUAACUCAUACUAUGAAACAUAUCACUUUCUAGUUUAUCCUCUCUCUAAUACUUCAUUGUAAAAGCAACAUAAUUGACAAAUUCCAGGUUCUAAUUUAAACAAACUCCCUCUUGAACCUUUCAGAAUCAAACAAUUUCCUGAACAUUGAAGAUACAUGAACCAGAGAAAGAGAAAGCAAUUAUUUUUGCAGAAUUGCACUUAAUGAAGAUAAGUUAUCUAACUGGUGUAAACAAGGAAAAAAUUUCCACUGACUUCAGACUAAAAAACAGGUGUUCAAAGUGCAAAUUGAAGAUUCUGAAAAGAUAAGCAAAAUGGUGCACCAAAAAUUCCUUUAUAAUAUUCAAAUCCAGCUUUCAUUUAAUGAAUGCCAUAUCCUCACACCAAGCUUCCCAUUAUAUAUAUUUUAAUCAGAUAUGUAUUGUUCAAGGAUUAAAAUUUUUGGUUCAUCACUUCAUCUUGCAUUGACGGGAGAACUAAAAAGGUUUAGAGGAAAUUCUUUUUUUUUUUUUUUGAUAGGUAAAUAAGAUUAGUAUUAAGAGAAAGAAAGCAAGGUUUAGAGGAAAUUCUUGUAGUUGGGAAGGGUCAAGGAUUUAAGUACCAUUUAGAUGACAGGAAGAGGCAUGAGUGACAAAAUCAAGCAGCCUCAAGUUGAAUAAGUACUUGACCUUUUUGCAUGCUAGCCUUCUAGAAAAGAUCAUAAUGGCCUUGUGGAGGAGAGUAUUAAGGUUAACUAUGGCAAUGUGAACUUUGUGGGAGAACAUGCGACAUGAACAAGGCCUAUAGCUUGCAGCCCUGUAUAAGUACAUAGGGAUGUGAAAGGAUGAAGUUAGAAAAAUGCUCAGUAUUUGAUAUUCCCCUUCUUAUAGUCUUCCCGGUUUUUUUUCUCAAAUGUUUUAUUGAGAUGUUGUCACUGAGUAUUACGCACUACUUUUUGGAAACUAGAAAUGGAGGGUGACCAAUUGUCUAGUUAAACUUUUUGCCACAGAUUUAUUGCAACUCCAAUUUGGAGCACUAUGAAACCUAAUGUCUAAUGAAAAAAUAAAAAAUAAAUCUGAAUAGCUGGGUUGCAUAUAAAAAAAUUACUCUUAAGUUAGGCAAUAACCUCCUGGCACUGAACCAGUCCAUACAACUUCAUUCCUCUGGUUUUGUGGCACUGACACUUCCAAAGAUAAACUAUAACGACAUCUGAGCCAUGUCAAACACAAUACUCUUCUGACACACUUGGACAAGUAUCAGACAGACGAAACCCAUAAAAAAACUAAAAUAUAUUUUCUUGACAUCUUAUACAUGCCCGACAGGAUUCAAACACACCCAGGACCUCUCAGGAGAAUCAGGACAUGGCUAUUUUAUUGACAACAAAAUAUAAUGGACAUUGAAUCUUUGAAAUUUUAAAAGCACUCAAUCUGAUUACUCAAUUAAUCAGAUAAGAUAACCAGAUAGAGAAUCUGGUUAGUAGUAGCGAAUAUGAAAAAAUACACUCAAUUAAUCAAUCUGAGUACUCCCACAUCCUAGCCAUAUCCGUGUGGAGUCAGUAAUGAAGAUGUCAAUCAAUAAUAGUCAUUCACAAUAAUCCUUCAAUGAGAAAACUGAUGAUCCUACCCAAAGCUACAAGCAUUACACUAAUUUAUUACUGAAAAACGAAAACUAACACAUCCUACAAAUCGACUACCAAUGAAUCCAAUAACGGAAAAAAUGCACGUAUCCACUAAGACUCGAACACAAUCUUCUCCAAUUUUGUGAAUUCAAUCCGAAAACCAUGUAUUUCUUCAAAUUCCCCAAUCAAGUCGACCAAACAAACCGAAAACCAAGCAACCUCGCCACAACACACCUCAAUUAAAGGGCAUAACAACAAAUUCCUCCUAAGUCUCACGCACUUGACCUGAUAAAACAAGAAGAUGAAGACCCGUGGCUCACCUCAGGCGCGUUCCGGACGAGAAGGGAUUCAUGAUUGGGUCCGUCGUGAAGCUUCUGGCGAGCUCGAUCGGAUCCGGAAUGGACGAGGAGCAGGGACCGGUAGAUCAGAAAGGAAUCGUAGAAAUAGAUAAUCUGAAUGAGGGAAUCGAGAUCCGGAUACGUUAGUUCGGAGAUCUGAGGGAUUUGGAUCUGAGAGUAUGAAACUUCUAACGAAUAAAUCUGAAAAGAGGCUUUCCCCUGCAAUCACAACGAAUUGCCUCUUCUUUCCUUUGUGAGCGUAUUUUCGUUUUGUAAGCUAAUGGAAACAAGAGCACCAGCUCCGGAAUUCCACUGGGAAGGUGCUUCUAUCACCCGGUGGGGACGCAGCUGGAUCACUUCUUCAACGUGAUUGGCCCAUGUGAAAUGAACCCGUGAGAAAAACGUUUCAUUUUUGUUUCUGAUUUUCCUUCAAGCGGGUGAAGGUGAAAUUUUAUUUGUUGGUGAGGUAAGGUAGAUACCCUCUGCGCCACACGAACGAAAAUGGGUUUUUUUAUUUUUACUUAUUAUUAAACGUGAUCGUGACAAUCAAUUUGAAAUUUCACUGGGGUACUUCUACAAAUCGGAACUAUAUUAUUGAUAAGACUUCAAAUGUCAUAAAAUAAAUAUUAUUUCAUAUUAUUACAUUUUAGAAAUUAUACAUAUAAGUUUUUAUUACUUGAUUAUAAAAAGAAUAUUUAAACCAUCUAAAAAUCAGACAAUUCCACCAUUCUUAUCCCUUUCUAUCAUCCAUCGAUAACAAAUAUCAUACCACAUAAGUUUCAUCGAACCAGAAAGUGAAAAAAGGAAACAAAAAGUGAGUGAGAGAUUUAGGAUAUAAAUAUAAGGAAGUAGAAAAUAUUUUAUAUGGUAUGGUUGUGGUAUAAAGGAAAGAUUAUCUCUUAUUCAGGGAUGUAGACAUGAUUGAUCAAACCACGUUAAUACUCAUUAUAUUCAUUGUUUUAUCUUUGUAUCUACUAGCACAACAAUAACUUUAAAGUUUUAAACAUUAAAAAAAAAAUUAAAAUAUAACUUUUAAUUUUAUUUACAGUAAAUAUUCUUGAAGAAAAUAAUAUCGUUGUAUCUCCCCUGUACUAUUAUUCUUACUAUCUUAUAUUAUAAAUAAUAAAAAAUAAUUAAUUACAUUGAAUAAAUUAUGAUCAUAUACUUUAUAUUUAAUUAUCACCUAUCAUGUAAGUAAAUGGUAAAAAAAAAAUCAUGAUUAAAGUAAUGAUUUAUUUAAUUAUUACCUAUCAAAAAGAAUUAUUUUCAAAUAUGAAAAAGAUUAAAAAUAUUUUCUAAAACCAAUAACAAAUAAAUUCUAAAUAAUUGAUAAAUUCUUAAAAUUAUUUUUAAAAAUUUUAAAAACCACUUGAAUAGAUUUCUGGAUAAUUAUUUUUAAAAUUUUAUUUUUUAUUAUAUAAUAUUUUAUAAUAAAAAAAUACUGUAAAUAUAUAUUUUUAAAGGUACACGUAAAUAUUAUUUUCUAAAAAUAUUUCUAAUAAAAAUGGACAUGAUAUAAAAGCAGUGCUGAUAAAACUCUAAAAACGUUGGUAUGUGACCCCGAUUGACAAUGCCGACGGUUGCCGGAUAGGCCAUCGAUCUUCUCAUUAUCUUUAUUAUUCUAAAAUAAUUUUCCUUAUACCAGUGGUGUGACGAGGUUCGCAUCUGCGGAUGGCUCCACCUUGGGCACCCAACACUAAAUCCUCGCAUACUCCAUUUUCCGAAGUCAUUCAUAGUUUGAAUGACUUGGUGGAUGAAUGUCUUCCAUUACAUGUCGGUGUGACCCUUGGGUCCAUCUAACUUCCGAGCUUGGAAUGCAUAAAGAUUUCUCAGUCAAUGCGAGGAAAAGAAUCAAACUUUUAGCCUUAAGAGUAUUUGUAGUUAUUCUUGAAGGGUUGAAAGUGCAUGUUAAUGUUUAGCAAACACUUUCCUUAUAAAAAAUCAAGUCGAAUAAAAUCCGGUGAAUUGAUUUUUAACCUGACAUUUAAUUAAUAUCUUUUACAAAAGUUUUUUUUUCUAAUGUAUGUUAUUGCUGAAAAUAUUUUUAUGAUUUAUAUCUAAAUUAUCAAUAAAAGUAUUUCUAAUAGAAAUGUUAUAAGGAGAACUACUAUCGGUCAAAUGAGUUGAAGACUUUAGUAAUUAUGUUUCAGGUUUGAAUUUUAGUCAAAGUAGUGGCAAAUUCAACUUAAAUUUAGUUGGAUAGGAUCUAAAAAGUGAUCAAAUAAUGCUUGAAAAUAACUCGAAGCUAUCGAGUGAACUUUCAAAGUAAAAAGAGAACCUAGGUAGAUGCUUGAAUUUCCAUCUAGUGAUUCUUGAGAAACUAGAGAUUCUUGAGUAUAUAUUUUUCUCAACAAAGUUUUCCAAAAAUUAAACAAAAAAUGCAAUUUUCUAAAUAUCAAGUUUCCUAAGUGUACUUGAAUUAUAUCGUAGGUUUGCAUAUAGAAACAAAAAGAAAAUAACAUUUGUGGAGAGCCUAGGAAAAAGAACAAAUUGGCAUUAUUCUACCUCAAGAUCUGAACUCUUUAAAGUGUUUCAAGAAGGUUCUUCAAAGUCUUUUUAGAUAGAAACAUAAGAGUUAGUAUUUGACCGAAUUGAUCUAUUGUACCAAAAUGCUUAAGCCUUGUAUGUAGCAAUUCUAGCCUAGAAAAACUAGAGAAAAAGUUAUUACAACUUCUAUAGUAUUUCAAGUAUCAUCCUCAGGGACUAGCUUACGAAAUUUGUGUUAAAUGAGUUGCUUUUAUUUUUAUCCUAAAGUAAAAAACAAUAUAUGAAUUGAUUUUUUAUGAAGUGACACUAAGUGAAAGAAAGUAAAUUAAUAAUAAAGCGAAUAUUAAUUUUUGUUAGCCCAAGGGUUCUCCUAAUCGGGUUUUGAUGAUAACAAAUCAUGAUUAAGUAACUAAUUGGUUUAAAUGUUUAAGAAUCUCAUGUAUAAACUCGAAAAUUUGUCAAAGGACCAAAUGGAUAAAAGACCGAGAUGCUUGGAAGACUUGUGAUCAUAGGAAACUAAUGUAAGAUGAAUACAUGAGUGCACUUAGGAUUUUCAUACGUUUCAUGCACCUUAGAAAACUCGGUUUAUUCUUUAAAAUGUUGAUUUCAUUAAAACCCAAGUUUUUAACUAAUUUACCUUAGGCAAAAUGUUUCAAAAUUGGCUUAAUAAUUUACCUAAAGACCUUACCUAAGUGUUAGAAAAGAAAUGAAUAAAAAAAAUAGGUUUUUCGAGGCCAAAAAGACUUAACCGGUUGAGGCUAUGGCCAACCGGUCGAGGCUAUGGCCAACCGGUCAACCGGUUGAGAAACCGGUCGAGGAAGGUCAAAAACCUUCUCUCUCUCCCAAUAGCCUUCUCUUCCCGGUCGAGGUGAUUCCUUUACCAGUCAAGGUCCGGUUGAGGCAACGGUAACCUGUCAUGCAUUAAAUGCUCCAACAGCUAGUGAACCGGUCGACCCCUAGCUCGAUCGGACGAGGUUGUCUUUUGCUAUUUUUGACUCCCGAGCUUAGAAACCUAUAAAUUGAGAGCUCCACUUCAUUUAUUGAUAAGAGAAAACUUGCAUUCAAAGCCCACCUACCUAUUCUUGAUCAAAAAGCUCUCAUUUCUUUCAUAAGUGUAUUAAAUCACCACUUGUAUAUCCUUUAGUGCACUCUUGUUUGUCAUCCUAACUUUGUCUUGUAUUUGAGCCAUCUUUAAGCUAGGUUGAGUGAUUAUAUCUUGUAACAAUCUGAGUGUUAAAGCCUUCAAGAGGGUUGAAUCUUGAAGAGGUUGUGUAAGAGCCCAUUAGAGCCGGAAUCUAAGUGCAAGAAGAUUGGAAACUUGGUUGAAACUUCAAAUUAGUGGAACCUUCACUCGGUUAGGAGGUUGAGGAGAGUGGACGUAGGCAAGAAAGUGUUGAACCAUUAUAAACCUGAGUUUGAAUUCUCUAAACUCUAUCUCUUUACUUUACUUAUAUUUUGUUUAAUUUUAUUGUGAUUGAAAAUAUUUUAAAAACUCAAUUCACUCUCCUCCCCCCUUCCUUUUGGGUGUUUUUCUUAACUAAACAUAGCCUUUGUUUUCUCAAUAUUAAUUUUUAAUUCAAUUGAUUCAAGUUUGAAGUCCAUUCCAACUUUAGGUAUAGAAAUUAAAGGGAACAAGAAUUUCUUAGGUAGAGUGAUCUUAGAGUUUUGGGAUUCUUGGUCAUUCGCACAAUCAACCUAAGCUAUAAACUCAUAAUUGCAUCUAAAACCUUUUUUUUUUCCUUUUUAAAAUAGAUCCUAAAACUAUAAAAUGAAUCAGAUUGAUUACCAGUUCAAGUUUCGACUUUUUAAUUUUUCUUACUCCUUAUAACUUUGUUUUAAGACAAAUAAAGAUAUGGAAAAUUAUGAUCGCUAAUGAUCAAGAGUUACAAAAAAUCACUAGUAUUGAAUAAUAAUUUACCAUAUCAUUCCCUAAAAUAAUCACAAAGAUAGGAUUGAAAAUUGAUAAAUUGUAACCUAACCACUAAUUAAUCUUAUUGUCACAAUAAUUUACCCAAUGUCCCAUAAGUUUUUUAGCCCUUAAGUUUUCAUACUUCAACCCUUAAGUUGGAUUUUUAACCUUUCAUAGGGGUGAUAUUAAUUCACAAUCCAUAAUAGAGUAAAAAUCCAUAAUUUGAAUAAAAAUAAUUAAAAACAAUAAUUUUUUUUUUUUUAAAAAAAAAAAAACAAACAAACUGAAGUUGUUGUUUUCUUUCACAACAAAUGUCAAAAACCCGAAAAAUAGGGCAGCAGAUAGACACUCGAGAAAAACAAGUUAUUCAACAAGUUUCGAAAAGAGUUUUUCAACAAAGCAAAAAUUAUUUAACACGUACAAGAUGACAAAAACACAUUUGAAGGCUAAAAAACAAUUUAGAAUAAGCAAAAAAAUCCAAAAUUUUAAAAAUAUUUUGGCACUCAAAAACAAGGCAAUAAAGAGUCAAUGCUCAACAAACAUGACAUGUAGGCUUAAACAUCAGCCUAAAUUAUCUUUCAUGAACAAAUCAACAUUUCAACCCUCUAAUGAGCAUGACAAAUGGCUCAUAAGGGUUAUGAAUAAUCUCAUUAAUUUCAAAUUUGCAACGAUAGUUCAUGUUUCUAAAAUUAAGAAAAAUUGAAAAUCAAAUGUUUAAGGACACUACAAAAAAAAGUUCCUUGACUUAAAAGAAGCAUAUGUUAAUGAUAUAUACUAAAAUGGAUAACCAUGACAUAUAAAACUUAGAUGAAACCAAUAAUGACAUAUGUAAAAUUGAUUAAAAGCUAUCAUGACUUAUAAAGAUCCAAGCUUGAUAGAAAAAUUAUAAGGUAUAGUAAUGGUGUAGUUGGAAGAAUUACUAUGACUUGCAAUUUAUAUAUUAAGGUUAGCCAUAUUUUCACAUCAUUCAAGGUUGAUUAUAGUAUAAAUAGAGAUGCUUGACUUCAUUCCUCUCCAAACCCGCUAUUUAUAUCUAAAAUAGAUUAAACGAGAAACCCUUAGGCAUCCGCUACCUUACUUGGCCACCAUCAGCCACCAUUGUUGAUCACUACUAGUCAUCAUAGUCGACCACCACUAGCCACUGUAGUCAAGUCCUACUAGUCACCGUAAAGGCCCACUACCAAUUAUUAUAUUCAAUGACUACCAACCAUAAAUCUCAUUGUGUCAGCUCACCAUGACUUCAACAAAGGUCUUUCUCUCAUUAGGGUUUUCAUAUCGAAAUAAGGUAGUUUUCUUUUAUUGACAUCUCACUUCAACUUCUAUGCUUUUUAUCCUUGAGAAAUUCUUUAACGAUGAGUUCUUUGAUGUUUGUCUAACUAGCUAUUCACUCUGCCAUGGCUUGACUUUUUUUAUAGGCACAUGUUUCCCUUGAUUUAAUCAUUGCAACUUUAAGAAAAUCAUAACCUUUUUCUUUUACAAUAUUUCAACAAAAAUCUAACUCAUUUCUCAAGUGUGAUGUCUCUUUUUCUCUCUCAAUCUCUCAAGAUAAAGUAAAUGUCCCAUCCUCCUAAGCUGAGAUAGUUCAAUUGUUCACAACUCAUUUUAGUUUUCUAGCAUUUAUGAAGCCUUUCCUAAAGUUUUAAUGUAAAUGCAAGAUUUGAUCUUGAUGGUGUUAUUUUGGUUCUAUCAAUUAGGGAUUUAGUGGUUUUGACUUUCUAAUGAAUCUAAUGCUUUGGAUUGGUUUCUACUUUAGGCCUCAUAGUUUUAUAGGAGAAGAUGAUAAAAGCUCUUCCCUCUAUGAUCAUGGGGAUGCUAGUAAUCAAUGUGCAUCUCUUGUUGUUGGAUAAAAAUCAAAUAUAUAUAUAUAUAUUUGAUUUGAAAUGGACGGAGAGUUAAACAACUAAUAGAAAACCAUUGCUCAUAAAUUGAGUUUGGCAUGAGCACAAGCAUAUUUCCAUUAUUGCACCACAUUUCAAGGUCUUGUGCAUGUUAUUUUGGAAUUUGAAGUUCACUGUUAAAUUAUUUGUUGGAUUCCUAUUUAAGUUCCUUUUAUUAAAUAUUUUGAUUCAUUUUCCCAUUCAUAAAGUUUGAUGAAAUUAAAUUAGAUUCAUUUCAAAAUUCACAAUUAGUUAAUGGUUCAUUAAAGGAAUGAAUUUACUACACCUAUAAAUAGAGGAAUUCUUGGUCCCUCUCUCCACUCUAACAAUUUGGUAAAAACAUCUUCGUACCUAUCACUAAAAAGUGCAUAAAAGGGAGAGUAUGAGAGAGAAGAUCAAGACAGAAAAAGCUGAAGAUGAUAGCGUGAAGAAUUUCAAAUCAUAUUGAAGUUAGGAGUAUGGAUCAAUGUACAGUUUUUCUUUUUCUUCAUAUCUUAGAUGAUAUUGUUUAAGUUCAAUAUUAAACACCAAAAAUCACAAAGGACGAGAGCAACCAUCCAUAUUUUCAAGCAAAAAAAGUAAGACUAAGGUCUAUGGUUUGAGGCCUAACCUUUAGGCAUGAGAUUGGCCAUUAAAAAAAGCUUGAAGUUUAGUAAAAAUGCAAAUGAAAUCAAGAUUUUACAACCAGUUUCGAAGAAGAGGUCACAAAAGACAAAAAAUGGCUCUAAAGAGUGUUUUAUAGGAGAAGGUUUUGGCCAAACAAAAUAAUGCAUAUGACUUUAAAUUAUUAUUAUACAAUAAGUCAAAAACACCUCCAAAAAUCACCAAAAGAAAAGGAAAACCAAGAUCCUAAAGAUAACCAAAAGAAACACCAAAAGCCAUAAAAUCAAAAUGAACUCCAUAUCAUGUUUCUACUCAAUGGGUUUCCAAUAAAGAAAAGAAAACUAAGGAAUAAGCAAAACCCAAUCAAGAUAGAUUUGUAAAACAACUAAAAAAAGGUUUAGACAAAAGAUCAAACGUCUAGCAAGCAUGCGAAAUGAUAAAAAUGAAGCAUAGUAGCUUAGAGUCCAAAUAUAAGAAGAAAAUACCCAAAAUCAAUGAUACAAUCAUCAUCUCAAUAAUCAAUCAAUAAAUAAAAACAAACCGAGAAUAAUAAAGAAAAAAAAAAUGAAAUAGAGGAGAACUCAUCAAAGAAACUCCUCCUAAGUAGGUCACUUUAGCUUAUAGUACACACAACCUUCUUUUUUUCUUCUUUUUCUCUCUCAAAAUUUAGGCAAAAUUUCCAAAAAAAAACUACUAAAAAUGGGCUCAAAGAUCCAUAUUUAUAGGUUAAGGAAAGAUGAAGAUUUUAACAUGUAUCAUCAUCUCUAUUUAGGUCUUACAUCUUAUUCAAAUUGAAACCCAAACCAAGGGUCUCAAAAGAAUGAGCCUAAAAUAAGUGUUAGAAAUGGAAUUAACAAAUUUUGGGAUUUAUACUAUAUUUUUGGAUUUUUAGAAAUCAUAACUUGAAAAUAUGAUUUUGUUUGAAUUUUUUUUUAAAAGGAUUUUAUCUUAUUUUCAAGAGACAAUUUUAGCUAUAUAUAUAUAUAUAUAUAUAUUUAGAAAUCAUAAAUGAUUUUAUUUUGUUUUGUUUUUUUGUUUUUUUGUUUUUAAGAAUUUUUAUAAAUUGUCUCUUUAAGAGAUGAGUUUUACUUAUAUUAUUAUUAUUAUUAUUAUUUUAAAUCAUCUCUUCAAAAGAUGAUUUUUGUUUGAAUCAAUUUACGUGACAACCCUCAUUUGUUGGUAAAAACUAAUAGAUUUGGAAAUAUUUUUUUACACUCAUAGUUUAUAAAUUAUUUUUUAAAACUACCUUGUAAACAUAAAAAAAACUUGUAGUUCUCUCAUUGAUUAGAGUGUUGCACUAACCAUUUUCUUUUGUAUCCAUAACUUAAAUUAAUAUCAAUUUGACAUAAAGAAUUACUUGCCAAAUAAUUACUCAUAUUUAUCAGAACCCCUUCAAUACAGAAUAUCAUCAUAUCACAAGUAAACUACCUUUACCUUCAACUCUAAUUUAUUUUCCUAUUUUUUCUACAAAUUUCAUUAGGUUACAUGGCCCUAUGAAAGUUCCCCACAUUGCCUUACCCAAUCUCUUCCAGCCACCUUGCAAUCCCAAGUCAUUUCCUAUUGUCAUUUAUAUUUUUAGUUUACAAAUGCUAUAUAUUAAUAUCCAUGAAUAAAAAUACAAGUAUAAAUUAUAAAAAAAUGCUUAAAUUAAAAGAAAAUUUCCGAAUAGUUUUAAAGUUGUGCGCGUCUCGAGUUAGUACUCAUUUAGUUUGAAAUAGUUGAUCUUAUUUGAUUAUAAAAAAUUUAGUAAUCUAUCAAAAUUUGAGUUCAAAAAUAAACUAAUCGAGUGUUUUCUAUUAUAAAUUUUGAAUAUUAUUUCUUUAACCAUAAAAUAAUUGUUAGCCCAAGGGUUCUCCUAAUCGGGUUUUGAUGAUAACAAACUAUGGUUAAGUGACUAAUUGAUUGGAAUCGUAAAGAAUCUCAGGUAUAAAUUCGUUAAUUCAUCAAAUGACCAAAUGGAUACAAGAUCGAGACUUUGGGAAAACUUUUGAUCAUAGAAAACGAAUGUAAGAUGAAUGCAUGGGUGCACUUAGGAUUUUCAUACCGUUUCAUGCAUCUUAGAAAACUCGGUUUAUCCUUUAAAACUUCAAUUUCAUUAAAACUCGAGUUUUAUCAAAUGUACCUUAGGCAAAACGUUUUAAAAUUGACAUAUUAAUUCACUUAAAGACCUUGCCUAAGUGUUAGAAAAGAAAGGAAUUGAAAAAGAUAGGUUUUCAGGGCCAAAAGGCUGAACCGGUCGAGGCUCUGGCUAAUCGGCUCAACCGGUUGGGGAAUUGGUCGACCAUUGUUCUUCUCCAUUUCUUCAAGGUUCUUCACAUUCUUGCUUCCAGAGACCAAUUUGGGCAAGAUAUUGGACUGAUUGUAGGCCUUGGACUGGAUUUUGAGACGAUCGGAGGCUAAGGCUUCGGAUUUGGGACCUAGGGCUUUCAAUUUAGGACGAUUUCUCCUCAGUCCAUGCAUCACAGCUAGCUUCAGGACAUUCCUGCGCGCCUAGGGUUUUCGGGUGUGUGUGAUUCUCUCUCUACCAACUUCACCUUCCUCAUUUCUGCUUUUCUGAUGGCGCCUAGGAGAGAGACAACAACCUCUAGGGAUCAGGGCAAGCGCCCUGCUGAGCCAUCCUAGCAUGAUCAGACGGAGGCUCGUCGAAAUGCGAGGUAUGACACGACCCUCUUCAGUCCUGUCGAAGAGUAUUAGAGAUACAAGCAAAAAUUCGCUCAGAAUAAAGUCGUUCCAGGGAGAAGUAUUAAUUUCUCCCAACUUUAGUAUUUCGAGUUUGAAAGACUUUUCGGCCGAAUGGGAUGGCUGCUAGUAGUGACGAUUUUUGAGCCGAUCUUCCCGACUCUGGUGCGUGCAUUCUAUUCACGAGUGACCUAUGGACUUGGUGGACUGAUCACUUUCACCGUUAGAGGUGUUGAGAUCAGACUGAGCUCGAAGAGCAUUUGCCGCAUUUUUGACAUCCCUUCAGUUGAACUCUGGGUGUAUGAGUCCAAGGUGUGACCUACUGUGCCAGGUUUCGAGCCUAGAGAGGCUAUUCAGAGGAGAUGUGGCCUUGCAGACGCCCAGGGGAUGGGCAAACCAUCGGCACAUAGUCUGACCGUGAUCAGCCGUGUCCUUCAUCACAUGAUCUGCUCCAUCAUAUUGCCACGAGGAGGAUAUCGAGACAAGGUCUCCUACCUUGAGGCAUUCAUUGUGGACUCCAUUCUGUCGGGAAGACGGAUUCACGUAUGGUAUCUGAUGAUGAUGCAUAUGAUAUCAUGCUGCGAGAGUACGACUCGAGUACUUCCCUACAGUCGCUUCCUUACUCAAGUAUUUAAGGAUGUCAAGGUUGAUUUGAGUAGAGAGUCAAACUUUGAGGCCUCUACCAUUUAUGACACUUAUGAUGAGCAGUCCUUGGGGCGGAUGAAGUUUGAGGCCCCCGAUGGCUCCUGGAUUAGGAGAACUGAGUGACUACCAGCACAGACCCAGGAACAGGGCCAUAUGCAUCCUGGAGUAGAGGAGGAGGCUGAGAUCUGAGAGAUGGAGAGUGGGUUAGACCCUUAGAGGGACUUUGAGCAGAGAUGACCUAAACUUGACAUUCCUCCUCCACCCCUAGUUAGAGAGUAUUCAGUUUGAGGCCACAUUCUCUGAGCCUAUGAUGACUGAGUCGACUUACACAGCGGGACCAUCUUCUCAACCAUCAUUCACCGAGCUUUCUCACACAGAGAGACCAUCUUAGGCACCUCACGCUAUUGAUCAUGAGUCUUAGAUGGAUUUAUCUGCUCAGAUCAGUUCACUUGGCACUCGUAUGGAGGAGCUUGCAGUAGUCAGUGAUACUCAAUUCUAUUCUAUGGAGGAUCGCAUAGAUUAGUAUCAGACUAGCUUCACUUCUCAAUUUGAGCAUUUCUAGCAGAGAUUUGAGUGUAUAGAGGAGCGUAUGGAUCAACAACAGACUACAUUUGAGCAUCUCCAGCAAAGUAUUGAGCGCAUUGAGAGUCGCCAAGAGAGUCAACAUGAGGAAAUGAUGGCUUACCUCCGUUUCGUGUUUCCACCUCCUCAGCCUUGAUUUCAUCGAGACCCCCUUUCGUUUUUUUUUCUUUUUUUUAUGUUGCCAAAGGGGGAGAGAUAUUUAGGAUCUAGGAGACCUAUACAUGCAUGUCAUUAUCAUAUCAUUUGUUUGGAUUAGCUUUGUUUCGUGUACAUUUAACUUUACUAUAUAUGAUAUGCUAUUUUCAUGAUUUACAUUGUUUCCUAUUGAAAAUUUGCAUGUCCUGAUUAUCUCGGUUUUUAAAUUCAUAAAUUUCGAAUUAAUUGAUCCAUGAUUGGUUUGAAGGGGAGAUUUCUUUUUCUCCUAGAUAACCGAGGUUUGUCAUCAUAAAAAAUGGGGAGAUUGUUAGCCCAAUAGUUCUCCUAAUUGGGUUUUGAUGAUAACAAACUAUGGUUAAAUGACUAAUUGAUUUGAAUGGUAAAGAAUCUCAGGUAUAAAUUUGGAAAUUCAUCAAAUGACCAAAUGGAUACAAGAUCGAGACUUUGGGAAGACUUUUGUUCAUAGGAAAUGAAUGUAAGAUGAAUGCAUGGGUGCACUUAGGAUUUUCAUAUCGUUUCAUGCAUCUUAGAAAACUCGGUUUAUCCUUUAAAACUUCAAUUUCAUUAAAACUUGAGUUUUAUCAAAUGUACCUUAGGCAAAACGUUUUAAAAUUAGCAUAUUAAUUCACUUAAAGACCUUGCCUAAGUGUUAGAAAAGAAAGAAAUUGAAAAAGAUAGGUUUUCGGGGCAAAAAGGCUGAACCGAUUGAGGCUCUGGCCAACCAGCUCAACCAGUUGGGGAAUCGGUCAACUGGUUGCCCUUGUCCGGUCAAGGUCUGGUCGAGGAGUGCCAAAAACACUCUCUCUCAUCCAGUAGCUUCCUCUUCCCGGUUGAGGUUCACCCCUUCUCAAUCGAGGUCUGAUCGACCUCCGAUCGAGGCAACGGUAAUCUGCCAAAGCAUUAAAUGCUCCAACGGCUAGUGAACCGGUCGACCCCUAGCUCAACUGGUUGAGGCUACCUUUUGCUUUUUUGGAUCUCGAGCUUAGAAACUUAUAAAUUGAGAGCUUUGCUUCAUUUAUGAGAUAGAGAACACUUACAAUCAAUUAUCGACCUACCUGUUCUUGAACAAAAAACUCUCAUUUCUUUCUUAGUGCAUUAAAUCAUCACUUGCAUAUCCUUUAGUGCACCAUUGUGAGUCAUCCUAGCUUUGUUUUGUAUUUGAGCUAUCUUUAAGCUAGGUUGAUGGAUUCAUUCUUAUAAAAAUUGAGUAUUAAAGCCUUUAAGAGGUUUGAAUCUUGAAGAGAUUGUGUAAGAGCCCAUUGGACCGGAAUCCAAGUGUAAGAAGAUUGGAAACUUGGUUGAAACUAUAAGUUAGUGGAAGCCUCACUCGGUUAGGAGAUUGAGGAGAGUGGACGUAGGUAAGGAAGUGUUGAACCAUUAUAAAACUUGAGUUUGAAUUCUCUAACUCUAUCUCUUUAUUUUGUUUAUAUUAUGCUUGAACUUGUUGUGCUUGAAAAGAUUUUAAAAAACCCAAUUCACCGCCCCCCCUCCUUCCCUCUUUUGAGUGUUUUUCUUAAUUAAACAUAACCUUUAUUUUCUCAAUAAUUAAUAAAGUAAAUAUAUUAAUUUAAAAAUCAAGUUAUUUAAAUUUUUUUGACUUAUUCUUAAUUCUUAUAUUAUUUUAUUUUAAAUUACUUUACUUCUAAUCAAGGUCUCAAUGAAAAUAAUUUAUAUAAAAUUGUUAAGUUAAACCCUAGUUAAUCAAGAUGAACAUCGAAAAGUGUAGUCCAAUAAGUAACACAAGGUCCUAGAUUCGGAUCCUAUCAAAUUUAUUGAAUGUCAUGGAUGAUACACUUAAUUAAUUUUGUGCUGUUAACUGCAUCUCGAGGCUUGAUUAUGAAAGGUUUUUGAUUAUUAAAAAUAUAAUUGUUAAAUUAAGAUGAAUGUAGUUUUUUUUCUAUUGGAGGUUAUCAUACUAAUUAGUAAUUUAUUAUUAACUUAAAAUUAUUUUAAAUUAAUUAAGAUGUCAUUUUGUAUCUUUUUACUCUAGGUAAAAAUUUAAGUCAAUUUUUUAUUUUUAAAUAAUAAUAGUAAUAUUUCAAACAAUUUCAUUAAAUAUGAAAUAAUAUUCUAUAUAGAAUAAAAUAUGACUCCUAUGAUAAAUAAUGUUUUUUAUUUUUAUAUUAAAUGUUUUUUUAAGUCAUAAGUAUUUUUAAUAAAAUUACUGAAAUAGGCAUGAAAAAAAAACUUUUAUUAAGAUUAAAAGGGAGCUUUGAAGUUAUUAAUUUACUUGAUUAGGGUUAAUUUGUUUAAUGAAAAUUAAUUAAUAAAUAAUUUUGUAAUUAUGUGAAAGUAAUUUAAAGAAUAUUUAAAGUUAGCAUGAUUGAAUAAAUGGUUAACAAAAAUUGUAGAAAAGUAGCAGAGAAUCCAAAACUUUAGGGAAUAAAAAAAAAAAAUCAAAAGCAAAGCAGCUGGUUGGUUGUGGAAAAGCUACCCACGAUUUUCUCUGCGUCUCCAUUUCACAAAAAGGAAAGCUUGCUUCCACCGCUGGCAAUCUCUGCAGCUUGGCUCCAUGGCUACAUACUUGCAGUCACUCUCCCUCUUCAUCGUCUUCACCAUCUUCACCAUCGCUGCAAUUCACGGUACUGUCAAAAUGUCCAAACACACCCUUUUCUGCUUUUCCUAGUUCUAUAUCUAAUAAUUUCUGAAAACCCCCUCAAUCUUCUCAUAUUUUCUCAGGUUCUGCCGACCUCGUUCUGGAAGAUGGAUAUACAGUGCGCACAGUGUUCGAUGGUAACAAGCUUGAGAUAAACCCUCACUCCAUCCUCCCUCGAUACGGAUCGUCCGAUUUCAUCAUCCUCGAUUCGUCCAAGAGUGUCUUCUACACUGUUUCCUCUCCCCUAUCCCAAGGUACCCAUCCUGUUUUCGUUUUAAUAAAGAGGUAACUGUGGCUCACUAGGGUUUUCCUAACUUCUUGUUUUUUUUUGUUUUUUUUUUCAGAGAGUGAAAUUAAGCGGUUAUCCGGCAGUAGCGCCGGAUUCUCGGAUGGCGAUUCGGCGUCGGCCACGUUCAGUAAGCCGCGAAGCUUUGCGGUUGAUCUGAAAGGGAAUGUUUAUGUCGCCGAUCAGAGCAAUGGCGUUAUUCGGAAGAUCACCAACAGAGGUACUUUGUUUGUAAAUGUGUUGUGAACGCGCAUGUGCUUCAACUGAUGAUUUUUUAUUUUAUUUUUUUUAGGCGUGACUACCACAAUUGCUGGAGGUUACGCGCAGAAGACGGGCAAAGUGGAUGGGCCUGCACAGAAUGCUUCCUUCUCUAAAGAUUUUGAGCUGGUUUUUGUUCCUGAAAAAUGCGCGGUGCUGGUCUCGGACCGUGGGAGUCAAUUGGUUCGCCAGAUUGAUCUGAAGGUGGAGGAUUGCCGUAGGAGCCCUCAAUCUGGUAAGCUCUUGGAUGUUAUUGUAAGGUGCUUUUUUCUAGAGAAGAUGCAUUAGUUAUUUUGCUUGCAAAACCUAGAUGACUGUAUGUGCAGAGAUGCAUAAGUCAUUUUGCCUGGAAAAUCAGGUAUCUAGUAGGCUUUUGGUUUGACAAUAAUUCUAUUCAAAGUGCAUUUUGCAGCGAUUAUAGAAAGUGUUUCUAGCAUUUUUAAUUAUUGAAUGAUGAAAAUUUCCAAGUGUUACAAAGAUUAGAAACACUUCUUAGAAUCACUACCAAACGCACUUUAAGAGCUCAUUUGAUAGUGAUUCUACGAAGCACUUUUAACGUUUUUAAUACUUGAAAAUUUUUAUCAUUUAAGUGUUAGGAAUGCUAGAAAUGAUUUUUUUAGAAUCACUCCUAAACGCACUCUCAGAGUGCAAUUGGUAGUGAUUUUAGAAAACAUUUAGAGUGUGUUUGAGAGUGAUUGUAGAAAACGUUUAUAGUAUUUCUAACACUAAGAAUGAUACAAAUUUUAAAGUGAUAGAAAGUUUGGAAACAUUUUCUAAAAUAACUACCAAACAGGUUCUAAGAGCUCGUUUGGUAGUGAUUCUAAAAAGCUUUCUAACAUUUCUAACAUUUGAAAAAUUUUAUUAUUCAAGUGUUAAAAAAGCUAAAAACGUUUCCUGGAAUCUCUACCAAACACACUCUAAAAGCCCGUUUGGUAGUGAUUCUAAGAAACGAUUAUAAUAUUUCUAGCACUUAAAUUUUUUUUAUUUUUGAAGUGUUAGAAGGGGUAGAAACAUUUCCUAAAAUCACUACCAAACAAACUUAAUAGUUCAAGGUUUCUUUGAACAUGAUUCUUAUUUCUUUGUAUGAUCUCGUUUUUUAUAUCUGAAUAUCCUUUCUUUCUACCUUCAUUCAAUGGUCUAAAUUUAACCAUACACUUCAAAGGUAUAGUUCAUAUUCAGUAACUUAGCAUUUUCAACACGAGUCCUUUACCCAGCCCUGUGGGAAUAUAAUAGUUUGUCAUUCCAUGAUGCUUGGUUAUGAGUCAUGGUUUCCAAUUUUUGGCAAUAAUGGAUGAAUUUACCGAAUGAGAAAGCCAAAAAAAAUAAGGGUACAGAUGGCACUUGUUAUCUUGAGGUUUAUUCUAUGAAGUCUAUUAUCUCAACUGGAGGGAACUAAUUGUUAUUUUUCAUUUUUUGCAGUAUUAGGAGGGGCCUUCCUUUGGGUUCUUCUGGGACUUGGAGUUUCAUGUUUAGUUGGCUUUAUUGUUGGGAUCAUAAGUCGUCCUUAUGUAAUUCCUCAAGUAAGUGUCCCUAUGGAAUAUAUUCUAUGUUAGUAUUGAAUUUCUUAAAUCUUGUUAACCGAAUUCUGUAGACAGGAAGUCUUCUGCCCACUCUUUUUCAGCGAGACGUGGAAGCAUUGCCUAAUCCAUCUGGGGAAACAAGUACUGAUGCUCUGCUUCGACAUCAGAAGCGUAAUUGCUAGCUCCAUGUUUUAUGCACUCCUAAGGAGGCUCAUUUCGUUGAGCUUAUCCCAUCUUUCUCUCAUGUUCAGAAUAAAUAUUGUAGAAUCUCAGUUUUCACGGAAGGAAUCUGUAUCCUUGCUUGAUUCUGAUGACUCAUGUAUUAGUGAACCAACAAUACCGCAAAUGUUUGAGGACCAGUUGAAGGAUUUGGCAAGCUUUGAUAGAAGCUUGCAAUUACCAGACACAAGCAGUAAAAUAUUCAUGCAGAAAAAAUCACAUAGGUUUGCAGAUCAAUUGGAGGACUUGUUGACUUUUGAUGGAAGCUCAGAAUUAUCAAAUACGACUGACAGAAUCUUCAAGGAAGGAGAUGAUGAUCAAGGAAAGAGAGAUAUUUCACCUGAAACCUGUGGAAGGAUAGAAAGCAUGAUAGAGGCUAAUUUUAUGGGUUUUGUGGAGCAGGCUAAAGUUACCACUCCUGUGGAGUUGUGUUCAUCAGGCAAUACAGGUUUAGUCAAGAGGAGAUGAAAGUGGUUAAUGGCUCUGUCCAUGUUGAAUCCCUUCUCUUUACUUGUGUGAAGUGUUUUAAAUUUCUGAACAUGAUUAUGCUGCUUAAAUGAUAUGUAAAUAGUUGGAUUUUCCGCCUGUUCCUUCUAUUUUGUUCAUUAUUCAGGUAGGGGGUAGGAGGGGAAUCUGGCUGAAACAGGAAUGCAUCAUUGCAAAACAGCUGGGUCCUGGACUUAUCACCCUCGUGUUUUCUGGGCAGUUGCGGUAUUACCCUAUUAUAAUAGAUGUUUGCCUGCUUGGAAAGCAUGCAAGCCACUUCUGCAUCAAGACAUCCUAAGGCAGAGCAAUAACUAUGGACUUAAUUAUCUGUCAGGCCACGCCAAGAAGUUGAUGAAACUUCGCUUCUGAUUAUAUCUGGUGAUUAAUGGGAACAAAUACGGAUUCUACAAAUCAAAUGUUACACAUUAUUUGCAAGAUUAUUCAUUGCUGGAACGCAUUUUUGGUUCAGUUCUUAUCAAUGCCACGGGAGGGUGAGCUCCAUCAAGGGCACAGAGGCACUCAGUCACCAUUGAAUUGAAACAAGUGAAAGACCGGAAUGCUUCUUUCCCCUUGGGAGGUCGUGAGAGAGACAGCUAGCUAACCCUUACCCAAACAUUACAUGGUGCGUGUUUCAUCCGAAAUUUAGUCGUUUCCUGGAAUGAUUGAAAUGUGAAAGGCUGAAAUGCUCCUGACAAGGGACAUUUCUUCAUACAGUGGUGCUGAGAGGAAAAUGUGACUGAUGGUUUGUGCGGAGGUUUUAGGUUAUUGCAACUUGUGCAACAGCGCCACGAACUUGAAAAUCUUCUAGUCCAACUAAUAAAUGAAGACUAAUGAAAAGCUCAGAAAACCCGGUGAGAAGAUGCAACAGCCUAUGGUUUAAAGGGUCGUCCAUGCAUCAAGCUGAGAGCUGAAAGGCCAAAAAGAAUCAUGAAAGACCCCCAAGGCCGCUUUUAAAACUUGUUUUCAAUAAACACAGACAACACAAACUAAAGUUAAGGUAUGUGGACUUAAAAAACCAGUCAAGCUAGGAUUACCCUACCUAAUUGUCAGUAUUUCAGUACAAAACAACAGUUGCAGCAUCAACAUUAAUUCAUGACCCAUUGCCUUAUUGUUUCUGUGCGUUUUAAUUGCCAAGAAAAGGAUCACUAGUUUUCUGAGACCCGUUAAAGCUUAAAAUGAAAGAGCAUUCCAUAUAUCUUCAAACCAUUUUUAUAGGAGCAAACAUUUCCAAACACAGGCUACAAUGUUUUGGCAAGACAGAGUAAACCUUACAUGGUGUUUUAAGUUGCUCCUUCAUUCCAUUCAUCAAAAAGGAAUCUUGAUACCACCUAUAACUAAAUCCCCAGGGAGGCAUAUCGAAAUGGAAUGAGACUAGAAUACUAAAAUCUCAUAUGUAUAUAUGAUCAAUAGCCCUGGGUGUAACCCUUUGAAUGGAUACGAGAGCGAAUAUUGUGAUGAUCAUAGAUGGGAUCUCCAUAGUUCACAGGCUUUAUAUCCACAGGUUCACGCCGGACUUGCUGCUCCUGAACAGCCCCAAAGACAAUCUCAUUGGUUUUCUCACAGUUCUGCUCGUAAUAAGUAUGCGGGGUGGAAGAAUAAUGGCGAUGAUGAUGUUGUUUCUGCUGUUGCUGGAAAUCACCAUCCCACCCACUUACAAAAGCACGGCUUUGUCUGAUUUGAUGCAUCUUUUCUGCAUCCUUGGACAUGAAUGGAUAGGUUUUUCGCGGAGUAGGGGUCCUAGUAUCAAUAGAGGGGGGCUCAUCCUCAUCAGGUAUCACAAAGCUCUCUUGCAAUGGCCAAGCAUUAGAAUGUUUUUGUGGUUGCUGGUAAUUUUGUUGGUUUUGGUAUUGAUAGCUGUGUGGCUUCUUCUUCAAUCCUGGAAUCAUUCCUCCAAAGAUUUCUGCAAUACAUGCCCCAGCAUAGACAAAAAGCUUCCCAAGGGACCCAAAGAAGCCUUCUUCUUGCCUUUCCAUCUCAUCUUCAGUAGGGAUUAGCGGUGGCCUGACUGAUUUCAGAGGCUUUUGAUAUGUACUAUGGGCAAUACUUGGAUUUGCCUGAUCCUUCAAGAGCAAGAGAUAAAAUAUAACAUAAAACAUGUCAUGUGGUUGAAAAAGAUGUUAGGAAACUUCUUGUAUCCCUCAUGGGGAGUAUAAGCUAUAUUCAACACUUUGGACUAGGAAGUUCUGUAUCCACUUUCCCAUUUUUUUUAUUUUUUUAUUUUUAUUUUGAUAAGUGUACCCACUUUCCCAUUUUGAAACUCAGCUAAAUCAAACUGCAACUUUGAGUAAAAUCAUGAAGAAUCAUAAAUUCGAGCAUAGAUUAUGUAAUCUAGAAAUUAUCUGAGGCUGAUACUACUGGAUUAUUAAGAAAACAAAAAGACUAGAGUACAAGAUGGGUACUCACAUUUUCAGAGGACACAAUUGUGCCCACUCUACGUUGCAGAAGUGCCAGCAUGUAACCAAAAAACCCAGCAGCAAUAAGCACUGCAAUCCCUGCAAUCAUGGAGAACAUUUCACAUGGAUUUGUCAAGAUUGAGAAGUAUCAAAGAUCAAUACUGGAUGGAUCAGUUUACCUAGAGGGAAACCACUUCCAUAUUGAUAAGCACAGUCAUCAAAAUGAAGUUGGAUCUCCCGAAUUGCCUGGUUUCCUCUGUCUAUGACAAGUAGGGAGCAACUGCUGCCAAUGUACACCACAUCAAAAUCAUUAGAAAACUUUGCAUCUUCACUUGGCCCAUCUACAUGCCCCCCUCCACGGCCCAGCUUCCCCCCUGCAAUUGUUGUAACCCCUGCAGGUAGAAAAUUCAACAAUAUUAGCAUUGAAGAUCUCUCAUUCUGUGAUGUUUAACACAGAAGAUCACAACUCUAAACUGUUACACUGGAAACAACCCCAUAUAUACAACUUAGUCAUAUUAUGUUUCCAAUAAACAACAACAUGAUUGCCAAGGUUGUUGUGUGGCAAUACCGUGUUUCCUUAGAGAGAAGGACACAAAAGUUGUUUUAUAAUAAACUAAAUUUCAUCUAUACCAUCAUGAAUGGGGAAAAGAGGAUCCAUUCCAUUUUCAUUUUCCUAUACCUUAACUUAAGGGACAUCAGUGAACAGGAAAAUAUUCUUCUGGGUACAUAUGCUCAAGCAAAAUACAGGCCUGCAUUACUCAUCCUCAUUUGCAUUUACCUGCAUCACUUAUCUUCCUGAUGGCCAUAUUCAAGGUAUCUGCAACAUAAAUGUUUCCUCUGUCAUCCACAGUAAGCCCCUUCGGAUGAUUCAUCCUUGCCUCUCUGAGCCUCCCAUCUACAUGUCCAGAGUAUCCUUCAGCGGAUCCAGUGACCAGCUUUGGUCUGGUAUCUGCAUGAUUUCCAGUGAGAAUUAUUUCAAGAAACAAAUAUACACAAAAAAAUUAUAAGAGACCAAAACAAUAACAUGAGAAUGAACUUUAAUCAGCAUAGAAAACUUCAAUAUGAGAUAAAGUGCUAUCAAAGAAUAUUAUUGUAAAACACAAUCAGAGUAAAUAGAUGUUCAAUAAACAUGAAUGUCAAUCUGAAUAAAAAUUGUUUUACAUAAACAACAUAACUCAAGGUUGCUAUAUGUAUAGAGAUAGAAUCUGACUCAGUAAAACUAAAUAGAGGAAAUGGUUCUAAUAAAUCCAGCAUAUUUUUGUAUUUUCAACACAAUAAAGGUUUUUCAUUGGUCUUCCGGGAAAUAGGCUUGUGCCAUAUCUCACUUAUAGCAAAUAAUACUAAUAGGUAAGCUAACUAAUAUAAUAUAGAAAGUUAUAACCACACAAAAAUUAUCGAAAUUUUUAUAAUCUCCUAGCAAAAUUGGAUUUAAAUUCUUGCAGAAGCUCUCCCAUUGAGACAACUGGACUAAAAACGACAUCAGAAUUGUAUAUUAAAUUUCCUAUAAACAUUGAGAGGGAUGUUCCAGAAGCUUAGCUAAAUGGUGCAUUGUAGUUCUGAAGUGGAUUCUGCUACUACAGAAAAGCAAAUUGAUAUCCUCAGCAAAAGCUAAAAGGUACAUUGUCCUUAUAAUAAUGAAGCUGAGUUCUACAUUUACGCACAAAAAGAUGGGAAAUAAGGACAAGAUAGUUCAACAACAUAGAGCCAAAUUUUUGCAUUAAAGAAAAAGGGGACUUGAUCAUAAUGCAAAAUCUUGUGGAAAGAAGCUGAAGCUAUGUUUUUGGCCCUAACAAAUGAAAACCAAUAGAUUUCUAGGCAUCGGACUCAGGAACUUCACAAAAACACAUACUCAACGAGAAUCUUAAACAAAUUACAAACAAAUGUUUCACAAAACAAGACCGAAUCAAGCAAAGAUUCCAAGUUAUUACAAUAAAUCCACUUACAUUGAGACAGUGAGGAAGAGAUCUUGUACAGGUUACUGUUAGCAGAAUCCAGAAUCAGAAGUUCCCCACUGCCCAAAACCUCAAUUGAGUAGGGUUCAAUUCCAAGCUUGCUUCCAUCAAACACGGUCUCAACUGUGUACCCACUCUCAAACUUCAUCAUCGACCGGCUAGAAAUCGCUGCAAACAAAAAUCCCAAGAACCGCACCGUAGCAUCAACACUCCAGAAUUCCCAAUACCCAAUACCCAGGAAAAGGAAAUUCCAAAAUCCAAAAAAAAAAAAAAAAAAGGGAAGGAAGCAGCCAAUGCGUGUAGUAUCAAAGAUCUCUACCUGUUUUGGUGGUAGCUUUAAGAGACCAGAGCCAUUUCAUCACAACAGGAACAGCAUCUGAGACAAACCCAGUAACAAUCUCUGCCCAAUGUCGCCAACAAACACAGAUUCAAUCUCUAAAAACACAACCAGAUCAAACUGAAAAAUGCUUCUGAAAAGCUCAUCUACACUUACUUGCAGGAGAAGCAGUAGCCGAAGCUGAUGAGACCCCGCCAGACAAAACCACGAGAGUGAGAACCAACACCAAAACACUCUUACCCAUCACUGCUGCACUCAAGAAAAAAGUCCCAAACAGUCCAAGAACAAGUCAGAAGUGAAGACGAAAUGCGUGCAUUGGCCAAAAACCCUAAUUCACAUCUGGGCUUAUGGCAUUCAUCAAAAGUAUAGUGUCUCCAAGAAGAGUGAGUGUGGAGUAUAGAGAAAAAAGUUGAAAGAGACAAACGAAAAAAGAGAGGAGGAAAGGGUAAAGCAAGAGUGGGGGUCAGUGGGGGCGCUCAGCAUUAGGGAAGACAGAAUCGGAUGCUGUGAUUAUGUCUUAAUACCCAAAAAUCUUAAUUCCAUUCAGGUUUAACAAUCCAUGUCCCACAUUUACUUCCUAUGUCUGUCUUCUGCGCACCACAUUCAAAUGCCAGCUGUACGUUAAAAAAUAAUAAUAAUUAUCAAUUUUAUUUACUCAUUUCUACUAUAUAUAUUUCAAUGUAAUAACUUCAGCAUUUUUGAAGGCUAUAAUUGUAAAAAUACUAAUAACAAUGAGAGAUGAAAUUCAUACUUAUCCAAUACAGCUGUACAUGGCUCGGCUUCACAUGGCUAGCAAUUCGGGAAUUUUUCAAAUCUAUCUACAUUGACCCUCACUUGUCAUUUUUUUGAUUGAGGAUGUUUGUUUGUGCUUUCCAAAUGUUUAAACGGUUGAGUUGUGAAGUUGGUGGGAUUCAUCAAGUUUGAAUGUGUGGUGACAGGCGAGGAUUCGCCAAAUAGAGCCUACUGUUAACAUCAGCAGGCCUCAACGGUCUUCUAAGUUCUAACAGAAACGUCACAGAGAUUAUGCGAGUUGACACAAACCUUUGGACUUUACCCCAUGCCCUUACUCCACACCUGACCCACCCACGUUCAUAUACUUUUUAAAUCACAACCAUAAAUGCCUAAUUCAUACUAAAUUUCAUAUUUUUUUAAUUAUCUUAUUUCAAAUAUGCGAUAUUUAAACCGGUUCAAUCAUAUUGCACAAAUGAUAUUAGAAUCCACCCUGACACUUCUGUGAAACUCUAUUUGUCCAAUUUAAAAAAAGAGUGACAUAUUUUCAAAUUGUGAUAGAUUUAUUGGGUCCAAAGAAAAAAAAAAUCUACAUUUUUCCAAAAAUUUGUUAUAAAAUAUGUUUUUUCUCCUUGGUUUAUUGGUCACCUGCUGCAAGGCACCCGGCCCAAACUUUGAAUAAGGGUGAGCAUUUUAUAAGCCCGCAGUCCUAGAAUGGGCCUGAACUAGGAGACCACGGGCCAAGAGUAGCUUGGAGCCUGUUCCGCCAGGUGAUUUCAGAACUGUUUUUUAAAAAUGUGUAUAAUUAAUAAUUGUUAUCUGAAAAUAUUUUUAAGAUAGAAAAUAUUUUUUAAAAAAUAAAUAAAAGUUGUUUUCAUUUUUUCACAAUAUUUAAAAAUAAAAAAUAAUUUUAUUUUUCUUGAUAUUCUUUUAACAUAAAAAAUGAUUUUUUUUUUUAAAUUCUUUUAACAUAAAAAUAAUUUUAAAAACAAGUAUAUAAAAAAAACGUGGUAAAAUCUAGGAGAUUUUGUGAAUGUAAAGUGGAACUAAAACAUAAAUAAGGUAGAAGAAAAUAAAAACCCUAAACCUCUCACCUCGAAAGGGACUAAAAAGUAAAAACUCCCAACUUCCGAAGCCGGGGUUUGACUAGCCUUAAAGCUUCUUAAGGUAGCUCUGCAGUUGUCAGGGAAGGAGUUUGGACGCCUAAAAGAUAGCAUAAAUUUCUGCCUGAAUCUUCCUCUUCCCUCCGCCGCUCCACCACCACUCCUCUACCACCGCCGGCGCCGUCCAUGGGAGGCGUACCUGAUCCAAAAUCGAAGCCCUCCCACUCUCACCCUAAGGAUGACGAAUAUCUUAGUUGCGUCAUUCCCAAGCGCAUAGCCGUCUUCGAAUCCAUCAAAGCUCAACAAAUCGCUCAUCGCCAAUCCAUUUCCGGCGACCCCAUCAAGUAAUCUAUCUAUUUCUCUGUUUUAUACAUAUAUAUGUUUUUUAUUUUUUUUUGGUAUUGUUGGUUGAUGUUUGAUAUAUCUGCGGUCAAGGAUAACUUUGCCGGACGGGACAGUGAAGGAAGGGAAGAAAUGGGCGACUACACCUCUAGAUAUUGCCAGAGAGAUAUCAAAAGGUUUGGCCUCCAAUGCGUUGAUUUCUCUAGUGAAUGGAAUUUUGUGGGACAUGUCCAGGCCCCUGGAGGGCGACUGCGAGCUUAAGUUGUUCACAUUCGAUAGUGAUGAAGGUCGGGACACUUUUUGGCAUUCGAGUGCACACAUUCUGGGACAGGUUCUAGCAGUUUCCUUUGUUCAAUUUUGUUUUCGGAAAAAAAUAUUGUUUGGGUAAUUGGAUUGAUAGCUCAUGUAAUGGUGCAGGCCCUUGAAGUGGCAUAUGGUUGCAAAUUGUGCAUUGGGCCCUGUACCACAAGAGGAGAGGUAUGUUAUAAGCAUGUUUAGUUUUGGAAGCUAAUCUGAUUACCAUUUUUUUCAUGUUGUUUUAAAUAUUAAUUUUUUGUUUAAUUAAUUUCACCUUCUUGUCACUUUUAUUUAGUAUUUGAAUUUUGGUAUAGUGGUAAAUAUAUGCACCUUGGUCAGUUCUAUUUGAAUUGGGUGUUGGGUUUAGUGUAUGUUUGGUUCUUUUCUCUCCAAUGUUGCAUUCCGUGAUCAUGAUUGAUCGACCAUUUCUGCUUAAUUUGAGUGGUAUAUGACAAUAGUCAUUAGUCACCUUACACUUCUUAUACACUUACGUUAUUUCAUUUGAUUUGGUGUGUCUUUCCUAUAUAUCUUUGUUAAUCCUGCUGUGUAAUAUUUGGGUUUGUAGUUAGUAAUAUAUGGGGAUUGGAUCAAUUUUAUGUGAUGGGGCAUUGAAGUUUUAGGUUUUGGUUUACUCAUCAAUGUUCUUCCCCAUUAUAGCAUGUUUGAGUUGGUAGCCAUCAUGAAAGUUCCUGAUUGAUUUGAUUGGUAUUUGUUGACAAUCACACUACACUUGAAAUGCAGGAAUCAAGAUUUCUAAACUAUUAUUAGGAAUUUCCUCUUCCAAUCUUCCCUUUUUCAUAGAUAUAUUUUUUGAUAAGCAAAGAUAAUAUUUUAUAAUAUAAAUAAACAAGCACCAAGAAACUGUGCUCCAUCAUAUAUAGGAUGCAUACAGUGAGUGUUAAAGGAUGAACAAAAACACCCUGCCUUAGCUGGAGUCCAGCCAAUCAACAAAAUCUAUUAAAGACAUGGUAUUAGAACUAUGUGCAUCUUUACCCACAACAAAAGAUUACUAAGAACCUUCAUUAUAGAUAUCACUCUAGGAUAGCAAAAAGGUCACUUUUUGGAUCUAUAUUGGCCUUCAAUUUGCUAUUGAAGAAAGCCUCUAUUGUUAGGUUUUGAUAGAGAAGCCUCUAUUAUUAGGUGUUGAUAGAGAAAGUUGUUUUUCCUAAAUAGAAGGUUGCUUCACAAACAGAAGGUUGUUUGACAAACAUGGAAAACCUGGAUUUUUUUUUAAUAUUUAAACUUUAAUUUUCAAACUUUUUUGGUGCCCAUGUGGGUAAAUUUUUUUUGAUAUCUGAACUAUUUGUGUAUGUUGUUUAAAUUUCAAGUCUAAAGUACCCUACCAAAAGGAAUGUUGUGAUAGAUGAUAAGUUUGCCUAUGGAUGUUGUAAAAGAGGGAAAUGCUAAAAGCCGAUUACUAGGGUUGAGAAAGAGGAAAGAGACUUGGUAUUUAUCUUACACUAGGAAAUAAUUUGGCAUUGCCAUCCUGUUCUUUAAUCAUGAGCUUUGAUGCAUGGUAAGGCAGAUUAGGCCAUUAUGGGGUAGGGGGAUUUAUUAUAAGUAAGAAUCAUGUGAACACUCCUAGGUUAUUCUUUUCCUAUUCUAUUUACAGUUUUUUAUAGGGAAAUUGUGUAUGCACACAAUAUCUUAGUUCCUAGGAAGUGUACAAGGAUCAUUUAAGAACAGAAGGAGAAAGAAAGAAACAAGGGUUGAUAGGCACAAGAAUGGCCUUAUCGCAUGCUGUAAAAAAAUUCUAGAAAAGACACAUUCACAAACCUGGAAGGACCUCUCAAUUAUGCAAAUAGAGACCUAUUAGAAUGUUUAAAACUAUAAUAGGUAAUUCGAUUUCACUUGUCCAAACACUGCAGACAAACACAAUGAGCUGUUCUCCACACUUGCCUUCAACUCUUUCCAACAAAAUUGUCAUGCCAAUUUGGUAAUUCACUUUUGGAAAAAUGGUGUACCAUCCAACAUACAUUAAACAAAGAUAAAUGAUGGAGCCCAAAAAAUGUGCGCAUGCUCAGAGGGACAAGGGUAUGGUUAAUUUGUUAUUCUAUUUAUUUAUAGAGGAAAUGUCAAUAAACAAGAGACGUCCCAUCUCACUAGGUGAGUAGUGUAUGUUUUCUCUUGCACUUCCUUUGUCGCAACUAUCCCCAACUCCCUAAGGACAGGGAUUUGUAAAAUGACUUCAUAGAUAAAGAAUCUAAAUCUUUGAGGUUUGCUAUUAACUUAUUUUCUCUCCCCUACACAAGAUAGUAGUUUAAAUGACAUGUAGGUAAGACUUUGGAAACUCUAGCUUUAAUUAUGAAAAUCCUGUAGGAACCUUGUAUUCUAGUGCCCCUGACCAUUCUUGUUUGCUAUAUAUUAACCUUCUGAUUGUGUUUUUGAUUGUAGUAUGUUUAGUAGGUUCAGAAAACAGUGUUUCAAAGGAAACUCCCUACCCCAAACAUGGUACCAAAUUUAAUUCUGAGUCCAUUUCCCACAAAAUGCUAGUGCAAGAGUGGAAAGCAACCUAACCAUGCUUAAUGACCUUCCAAAAGCAUAACAUAUAAGCCUCCCUUCUCCCGUUACAGCACAAGCUGUCUUUCUCUUAGAAAUUUCCCAAACUCAGCUGCUACAACAAAUAUUAAGUUUAAUACCAACCUCUAAAAUCACAUUUUUUGGAUAGGCAAAUUAAAGAAAAAUAUAAAAAGAUGUCUAAUAAAACAAGAAGGUGCAAGCUAGGUAUACAGGAAAUACACAACGGGCCAAAAGAAAGAAAGAAAGAAAGAAAGAAAGAAAGAAAAGCAUGAACUAGCUGGUUCAACUCAAACAAAGCUUUUAUUUAUUAUUUAUUUAGUUUUUAUUUUUUUAAUUAACAAAUCAAAAACAACAAUUUAUUUCAAAGCAUGAAGUGAGGAUAAAUUGUCCUAAAAAGUAUACAAAAAUUGAUCAAAAGAUGGGAAACAAAAUUUUAGUGGGGUUAAGAACCAUAAACAAGAUCAUAACAAGAAAUGUCCUCACAUUUACCUAUUAAAAAUAAAGGAAAAAAAAAAGAAAAACAAGAAAUAUUCUCACAUUCACCAAAAACCCAAACCAAAGACUAAGAAACAAGAUGGUUAAGGUGGCAUGGAUUUGCCAAGAAGAAUCUCUAAGCUAGAAAUAUUAUGCUUAGCUAUAGAAUCUGCCUAGUGGUUAGAGGAGCAUGAAAUCUAUUAAAUGGAGCAAUUAAUCUCAAUGGACAAAUUAGUACUUUGGUGUGCUCUCUUUUUGGUGCUUUUAAUGCAUUUUUUGUUUACCUAUUAAAAAAAUAAAAAUAAAAAUAAAAAAUCCCAAUGGACAAAUUAAGCAUCCUUUGCAACCAAAGUUUCUAAAGGUGAAAAUGUAAGGUGAGAUGUUUUAGUGCCCUUAAGUCAAUGUGUGAGCUUUGAGGUGUAAGCCUUUUGGAACUCUAAUUUUCACAAUUAAUAAAUAUUUAAAAUAAUUUAAAACAUGCAAAAAUAAAAUAAAGACAAAAUAAGUGAUAGACAUGAUAAGAAGUCAAUUUAAGUGGCAAAAAAAUAAUUGAAUUGCAUGAAUAUUUUGCUACAUGAAAAAAAGAAAAAUUAAAUUGCAUAAUUUUUUUGCUACAUGCAAAAAAAUAGUUGGUUUUUUUUUUUUGUAAUUUUUUUGCUACAUGAAAAAGAAAGAGUAAUUAAAUUGCAUAAAUUUUUUGCUAUGUGUAAAAAAGAAAACAAAGAAGUACCUAUCAAAAAAAGAAAAAAAAAGAAAAGGAAAACAAAGAAAUUGGUGGACUAGAAAGAAUUUCAUGAAUAGUAUAGAAGAGAGUACCUAAAUAAAAGCAAACUAAUUAAAUAAAUAAAAAUCUAAAUGAAAAAAAUGCAUAAAACCUAAAUGUUGGACUGAGUUGUGAGUGUGUGAGAGGAGGAGUUAUGUGAAUGUGUUGAGAAGAGGUGGGACUUAUAAAUCUAAAUAAAAAGUUCAAUUGUUUAUCCGGAGGAGAAUGGGAUUAGCGAAGGGAUAUUAAAUGCCUUUAGAUCUUUACUAUCCAAUCCGGGGGACUGGUGCCCUCCUUUAUCCAGGCUGCAGUGUGAAACGCUGCAGAAUAUGGAUGCUGGCGCGUUGGAGGUCCCGUUCACGGAAGAGGAGGUGUAUGGCGCGCUGUUGGGAUGUAGUGGGGACAAAGCUCCAGGGCUUGAUGGCUUUUCAAUGGCUUUCUGGUAGUUUGCUUGGGACUUUGUGAAGGAUGAUGUGAUGAGUUUCUUCAGGAAAUUCUAUGAACACAGUAAAUUUGUUAAAAGUCUAAAUGCAACUUUUCUAGUUUUAAUCCCAAAAAAAGUGGGGGCUGAAGAUUUAAGGGACUUCAUGCCCAUAAGCUUAGUGGGAAGCUUGUACAAGUGGUUGGCUAAGGUUUUAGCCAAUAGACUAAAAAAGGUGGUCGGAAGGGUGGUCUCUAAGGCUCAAGGGGCUUUUGUGGAGGGUAGACAAAUCCUAGAUGCGGUGCUGAUAGUUAAUGAAGCCAUUGACUUGGUUCUGAAGAAUAAUGAGAAUGGUAUUAUGUGCAAACUUGAUAUAGAGAAGACAUAUGACAAUGUGGACUGGUAUUUUCUUCUCACAGUUAUGUAGAAAAUGGGUUUUGGGGAGAAAUGGAUAGGGUGAAUUAAGUGGUGCAUAUCCACUGCAAGUUUCUCUGUGUUGGUUAAUGACACGUCUAAGGGCUUCUUUCAAAGCUCAAGGGGAUUGAGGCAAGGUGAUCUUCUCUCACCUUAUCUUUUUGUGAUUGCCAUGGAGGUCUUUAGCUCCUUCCUUAAAUGGGCUAUGGAUGGAGGUUUUAUGUCGGGCUGUAGGGUGAAGGGUAGAAGUGAAGAAGGGGUUUAAAUUUCCCACUUGUUGUUUGUUGGUGACAUCUUGGUGUUCUGCCAAGCUUCUCAAGACCAUCUGACUUACCUAAGUUGGUUGCUUAUGUGGUUCGAGGCUGUGUCAGGGUUGAGAAUAAACUUGGAGAAGAGUGAACUCAUUCCAGUAGGGAAGGUAGAGAAUAUUGAUGAUCUCGCCUUGGACUUUGGUUGUAGAGUGGGUCGUCUCCCGUCCACUUAUCUAAGCCUUCCCUUGGGUGCUCCGUUUAAGUCAGUAUCAGUGUGGGAUGGAGUGGAAGAGCGAUUCCGUAGAAGAUUGGCCAUGUGGAAGAGACAAUACUUAUCCAAGGGAGGAAGAGCAACUCUAAUCCGAAGUACUUUGUCGAAUCUUCCUAUUUAUUUUAUGUUCUUGUUGUGCUUACCAAGUUUUGUUAGACGAAGACUAGAGCAAAUCCAAAGGGAUUUCCUUUGGGGUGGUGGUAGCUUGGAGCGAAAACCACAUUUAGUAAGAUGGGAGUUGAUGUGC
RNAcentral lists this long non-coding RNA (57567 nucleotides) under Vitis vinifera (wine grape). Its description in RNAcentral is "long non-coding RNA (VVIN_LNC000142)". Lineage: Eukaryota; Viridiplantae; Streptophyta; Magnoliopsida; Vitales; Vitaceae. The record is from RNAcentral.